GUAUUGGCCGUGGCUGCACUUGAAGCACCUGCCCCCAACUCCCCAUCUCAGGCGCCAAAUCCACUUGCAUCUUUCCAGGCAAUGCUGAUGGGAUUCGUGGGUGUUGCUAUUUCCUUUAUUUUCUUUAAAUCUGUGGCUUGAGCUCCCCCAUUCAACUCUACUUGUUCUGGUGUGCUUCUUUCAGUAUUUUCUGCACCAUGUUUCUGUGACUGGAGAUGUUAUUGAGCUCACAAUCUAGCACAAAAUUAUGAAUAAUGCACUUGUAUCAAGUCCUCCCCCUUGAUUUACUACAAUGUUGUAAUGCCUGUCCUAUUGUGUACCAACCCUUGAUUGAGUGAAAUAUCAUCUCCGAUCUGUUUCUAUCUUGGAAAAUGUUAGGGCACUGAUUCAGUAUCAACAGAACUUGCAGUCAGGAUCCUUAAAAAUUCAUGAUGAAAUUGUGGUUAGGGUACAAUUACAAACAAAUCAAACAUCAAGCAACAUACAAACAAAUGGGACGCAAGUGAAAUAUAAAAACAUUGGAACCAAAUUAUAUAUAUGAUAUGUUUUUGGACAAAUAGUUGAAGAGGUCAGCCAGCGGAAAAAUAGAGCCAGCCCAUCACUUUUUGCUGGAAAUGGGCCUGUCAUUACAUGAGCUGGGUGCUGCCACAUUGGUUAACAUUUGGCUUGGCAGGUGACCCCCCACCCCCAACAAAAACAAAAGGACUCUUUGGAACCAAAGCCUUCGAGCCACAUUGGUCAAGGGCCACGGUGCCAAUCUCAGAACAAAGAUCCUCUCGUUUAUGCCAGCCAAACCAGGCUGCUUUCAUUAGUGAUUUGGGACUAGAGUGAUCCGUUGGCUGGUGUCUGGCUUCGAAAAUUAGAGGUGGUUUUUAGUUAUUUUCAGGUGGGGUUUUCUCAAUUUCCACGUCUCAGCCUAAAGAAAAGAAGAGAGCAUAGCGAGAGCGGAGUCACAGAAUGGGUGGAGAUGGGAUCUUGGGGUUCGGAGAUGUUGAGCAAAUCAAAGAAGCUACAAGCGGAAAGAGAAGGUGGUUGAAGAGGAGAGAGAGAUGGCUUGUGGUUCUUGGGGUGGUUCUACACGCAGUUUACAUGCUCAGUAUCUUCGAUAUCUACUUCAAGACCCCAAUCAUCCAUGGCAUGGACCCGGUCACUCCUCGCUUCAAGGCUCCCGCCAAGCGUCUCGUGCUUUUGGUUGGUACGGUCUCUAGAGCACCAUCUAUUCGCUGAUUUGAUCCAGCUAAUUUCACGAGUUAUUGGCAUUGGAUGUAAAGUGGGUCCGUUUAGUUUUGUAUUGCUGGUUGUUUAUUUGAUAGUAGGGACUAAUUGGUUGCUUCGAGCAUUCUAAAAGAUCUUUAUUUAUUUAUUUAUUUUUUGGGUAUUUUUUGCAUUGAAUCAUUGUGGUUUAUUAAAACUGAACACCUGGUUCUGUGAUUUCCACUGCAACCACUUUAGCAUUUCUUCGUUGGCUGAAAUCCGAUAGGUUCUUUGUUAGAAAAUUGAACUACUUUUUCUGUAUAUUAUUGUUGAUGGAAUGUUUUCAACCCUGAGUUUCUUAAAAUUUUGAAAUUGGAAUGUAAAUGCAGCGGAUGGGUUACGGGCUGACAAGUUUUUUGAGCCAGACUCUGAUGGAAAUUACAGAGCACCUUUUCUGAGGAGCAUAAUUAAGGAGCAAGGUCGGUGGGGUGUGUCUCAUGCUCGUCCUCCAACAGAGUCAAGGCCUGGACAUGUUGCUAUAAUAGCUGGUUUCUAUGAGGAUCCUAGUGCAGUUACAAAAGGUGUUUUUUCUGUCUUCUUUUACCAACUUAAGAAAAACUCUCUGGUUCAGUCUUUUACUGCUAUUCUUCCUGGAAGUAAUUCUUAUAACUUGUAGAAUGCAUGAUUUUAUGCUGUUGGAUUCUGUUUACCAAAGAUAAAUUCUGUUGCAGGAUGGAAAGCUAAUCCAGUUGAGUUCGAUUCUGUGUUUAACCGAAGCCGGCAUACAUUUGCUUUCGGUAGUCCAGAUAUUGUUCCAAUAUUUUGCAGUGCCCUGCCACACAGUACCUGGAAUUCAUAUCCUCAUGAGUUUGAAGACUUUGCUACUGGUCUGGUACUAUUCUUUUAACACUAGUUAUUCCGGUUAUAGAAACUUAUUCUCCAUUAUGGAUAUUUAAAUUGGAUGUUAGAAGCCCUAUUUCCUGUUCUUCCAAAACAGAAGGAAGUUCGAUAGAAACUGUUAUGGUUUAACUGUCUCGUCUAAAAGCUCUUUCAUUCUCAUCAUAUUUACAUUUUGCUUUAACUUUUUUGUAUGCUUUUUUUUUUCAUUGACUAGAUUGGAUGCAUGAUGACCAUGUGCAUCCCUCAUAUUUUCCACUUGUUAUGCUUGUCUUAACAUCAAUCAUUUCAUUAGGUUUUGGCUAAUGUAUGAACUCCCUGUUUAGUAAACUACUCUGUGGUGUCUCAUCAUUCUGAUACAUGCCUGCAUUGACAUCUUGAUAAUAUAAUUUUAAUUGAAAAUGCUUUGUCAAAUAACAUUAGGGGUGAUAUGCCUGAUGGGUACUAUUGGAUGCCUGGUGGCUAUCCUUGAUAACACUGAGGAAACCUGCUGAACAUGCUUGAGGUUCCCUGGAAAUGGCUGUGAUGAUUUAUAUUUCUAAUUUCUUAUCUUGAUAUCAGAAACUGUUGCCACUAAACCUAAAACUAUUCAAAACAAGCAUUGUUUUCAAAUUCAAUAAGUAACAAGCAUUGUUUUCAAAUUCAAUAAGUUAUCUUAAACUUGAUCAAAGUAAUUUGUCCCAGUCAAUUUUUUUAUUGACUCAGCAGCAGCUCACUUUCAAUCUAACUUACUGGAGUUGGAGUCUGCUAAUUAAUUAUUUAUAAAUUAGAUCAUGGUCUUAGUUCACAUGUUUGAGUUCCAAAGUGCUCUGCGAAUUGCCCCUUUUUCUAUUUUUCAUGUGUUUCACAUAAUUUUUUUAGUCUUCAUUAUAGGGUGAAAAAUAGUAUAGCUUCUUUUAUUGGUGUCUGUAUAAGUAAAUGAGUUCUAAGCCAAUUGGGCUGACUUUAAAGUUGAAUGGAGUUUAAUUUUGAACUACAUAAAAGAGUAAAAUUGUGUUGUUUGUCUAGUUUAAUUUUUUUUAGACUAAGCCAAAAUGUGGCACUUAAAUUUUUCUGCAUAUGCAUUUAUGUGUGUCAAUGUGUGAUAAAAAAGAAAUAAAAAAUGACUUAUUACUACCUACUAUGGUCAAUGGCCUAUUGGCUAUAAGUAAUAUGUUAAUGGUGUAAUUUUCAAUUCUACUAGACACCCACAAAUGUUUUUCGCAAAUUCAUUUGUAUAGUUGCUAAAUAAAGAUGUUAUAGCUUAAUUUUUUUUGUGUAAUGAACGGCUCUCUCUCUCUCUCUCUCUCUUCAUGGCGUAGUCUUUCAGUUUAUGGAUCUCUCUUUGAGUAACAAAACCUUAAGUAUAUAAUUAGAGCUCUAUGGUUGGUGCAACUGUCGUUAUCUAUAUAUGCAAAUAAUAUAAUAUCAUGUCUCCCAAUCUGGAUGGUGGUCUUAUAAAUUGGGAUGCCUUAUUUUUAUUGAUGUUUUAAAUACUUCUCACCCUCAUUUGUUAUAUCCUUCUUCCCUGUUGAUAAAAAGUUCUGUAUUUCUUUUAUGUCUUUCUUAAAGAAUAAAAAAUGUGUAAUCUUGGGUACUUCUCACCCAUGUCAACAUCAUACUUUUCUAUCCUAAAAACUAAGGUGUGUUUUCUCAGUUUUCAACAUCUCAUCUGUGCUUGUUGGCAUUCUGUAUAUCUGUCUGAAGUCGGAAUUAUAGACUUUUACUGAACUUUUUCCUCCCAUCAGUUGUAACGUAGUGCUAAAGUUCUUACUGGAAAUUUAAUUUUCCUGAAGUAAAAAUUUUCUAAUAAUAUUGUGGGCACCAAGUUUUUUUGUUUUUAUAUAUCAACCUCUGUAGUUCUCACUUGAAUCAAUGCUUUCCUGAUUUAAUAGUGUUAAUGCAGAUGCAUCCUUUUUGGAUGAGUGGUCCUUUGAUCAAUUCCAGAGCCUUCUGAAUAGCUCCAAUAAAGAUCCAAAAUUGAAGCAGUUACUUCUACAGGAUAACCUCGUCAUAUUCCUGCAUCUACUUGGUUGUGAUUCGAAUGGUCAUGCACAUCGGCCCUAUUCAUCUAUCUACCUUAAUAAUGUUAAGGUUGUUGAUCGUAUUGCUGAAAAUGUUUAUAAUCUUGUUGAAGACUUUUUCAAGGACAAUCAGACAGCAUUUAUUUUUACUGCUGAUCAUGGAAUGAGUGACAAAGGUAUGAAGCUUUUAGAAUAUGUAUAUUAGUGGAACUUGAAUUUCUUUUGUUUCAUUGCUCUCAUUCAGGUUUUUGUCUUGUGUAACCUGCUCAAAGCUUGAAUGUUGUUGAAUGCAUGAAUAGUGGUCACAAGCACUCCAUAGCAUUUGAUGAUUCAUUAUGUUUAUUGAGCAAUUUUUGCUUUUUUGACCAGACAACAUUUGAUGAUGCAUUAUGUUUAUUGAGCAAUUUUUGCUUUUUUUGACCAGACAACAUUCUAUAGAUGGUAGGGAAGCAAGCUAAACAAGCCUGAUUCUUUACUUGAAUCAUUUAAGGAAUUUAGUCCACCUCCACAUGUCCAUGGUGAUCUCCUUAACUAGUUAAUUUAGCUGGAUGGCUAUUGAAUUGUUCGAGCCUCAAAAGUUUCACAUAAUCCAAGCACCGACCUCACAUCCACCGCCAUGACUACCCUUCCAGAAAAGUGGAACAAAAAGAAGUGAAUAAAAGGAAUCACUUAACUUAUAGCAAUAUAAUUGGUUGAGCUCAAAGGUUUUGGUAAUCUACUUGAAUCCAUGAAUCUAUACUACCUUGGAGCAAAAAGUGAUUGUGUGUUACUGAAAAAAUAAAUGAAGAAGAAACUUCUUGUUGGGUGGCUGAAUUAGGCAUAUAAUAUGCAUUUAAUAUGACAUUAUCCCAUUGGAACAGUUGACCCACCUGGUUAACCAUUUUGACCAACCUUGCCAGUUCCUCAAUGGCUAGAGUAGUGUUCAAACUUUGAAGCAUUGGUUCCUUAGAUUUGAAUGCUACUAACAUGAUCUGCUCAGACAUGAAAUAUGAUAUUUCCUGUCUAUUUACUUAAGAUACUGUUUAAUUUGGUUUCUCUUGGAUCAGCUUAAGAAGGGAUGGCUGCCUUCUCGGAGGGAGAAGGAGCUCCGAAGGGGGGCAAGUGCUGGUUUGCUGUGGAAUCAAAGACUUUUGAGAUCUCUAUUGAAGAGACUCGAGGCAAACUGAGGGGGAUUAUUCUGGAGAGAAGCAAAGGCUUAUCUUCCUGGAUAAAAUUUGGAGAAAAGAGCCUCAGUUCUCUGUUGGAAGGAGUGGAAGAGUGGUGCAGAGAAGAAUCAAGUUCAAGGAGCCUUAGAGCUUGGGAAGAAGGAGGAAGGAAAUAUAGGUUGGAGUGUCGUUCAAAUGCUGCAGGUAGGUAUCUGCUAUGUUCAGUGAGGGACUCGGAGGCAAAGAGGUUUUGUCUGGUUUUCCCAGAAGGUAAGGGCUUAGUAGGUGGUUGGUUCAUGCUGGCUCAGAAGCUAAGAGCCCUUGGAAUAACUUCUCAACCCAUGAAGAAGUUUGAUCUGGGUAAUUCCACCUCUGUAAAGGAAGAUUAUAGAGGUAAAGGAAAAGAGAAAGGGAAAGGAGUUAUUCCAGAUGCUGAAAGAGUGGAGAAAGGAGAUUUAGGGGAAGCUUUAUGGGUGGAUGUUGGUGAGCGAGACUUGACCAGAAGGGAAGUGCAGCUUAGCCGCUGUUUGGUAGGAUGUUUUGGUGAUAGUGUGGAGGAUGUUCCGCCUUUGUCCUUUUUGGAAGAAUGGGCGUAUGAUAGCUGGUCUCUCAAGGGAGGUUUAAAAAUCUCCCGGUUGGGUGGAGCCUUAGUGUUGUUCGAAUUUGAAGACAAAGUGGAUGCGGAAUGGGUGCUAUUAAGGGGUAGUAGAAGGCUCCAGAGGAGAGAGUUUUUCUUGCAGAAAUGGGGACCUGAAGUGGGUUGUUGCAGAAAUGGAAGCCACCCAAAGGAUGUGUGGGUGAAAGUAGUCGGACUACCACUUCAUCUUUGGAGUAGAGAAGUGUUCAAGAGUAUACGAGAGAGAUGCGGGGGAUUCAUAGCUGUGGAUGAGGAUACAGCCUUUUUCUCCGAGCUACAGUGGGCUCGCAUUUUGGUGAAAGCUCCGGGAAAGAUCAAACAGGGUACACUACAGGUGAUAGCCGGAAAAUGCUGCUGGACGGUGAGUCUUUGGUGGGAAAAUCCCCCAUGGUUCUCGGAGGUGGUAGAGAGGCGGGAGGUCAGGGAUGAGGGUAGGGGAGAAUCACGCGCCAGUGGUAGCGUGAGAGGUUUUCAAAAUGGCAAAAGUGGUCUGCAGGUUCAGGCGUCAGGGAUUUAGGUUGAGUGUGGCAGAGAGCAAGGUGAGGCGGCAGUUGCAGGGGUGGAUGAGGGAAGGAGGCCCUUCGCAGGUGAUCUGGGCCAUUUAAACAACGGGUUUGGGCCCAGUAAAGAGAAGGGACAGGCAUAUAAAGGCAUGAGUGUCUUGGGCUUAAGUGAGGACAGGUUUUGGGCCAAAAGCCCACUACCCGCUAGUUUUAAAAAGAAAGGCUGGGGGUGGGCUUCUAAGCCCACUUCUGGAAAGGAGUUGGAGGUGCGGUCCUCCUCGGCUAGGGCUUCCUCUGUUCCCGCGGAGACUGAAGAGGGGUUGGAUCCAGAGCUCAGGGUGUUCCAAGCUGAAAAUGCCGUCGGGUCGACGCCGCGUGGAUGGAGAGGCACCGACGAGGCUCUAAUGGAGGAGCUUCCAGGUACGAUGCUGGUCCUUCUCCUCUUUCUCAGCUGGGGCAUCGGGGACACUCCCACCUUUCUUCUCUCUUUGGGGCAUCNNNNNNNNNNNNNNNNNNNNNNNNNNNNNNNNNNNNNNNNNNNNNNNNNNNNNNNNNNNNNNNNNNNNNNNNNNNNNNNNNNNNNNNNNNNNNNNNNNNNNNNNNNNNNNNNNNNNNNNNNNNNNNNNNNNNNNNNNNNNNNNNNNNNNNNNNNNNNNNNNNNNNNNNNNNNNNNNNNNNNNNNNNNNNNNNNNNNNNNNNNNNNNNNNNNNNNNNNNNNNNNNNNNNNNNNNNNNNNNNNNNNNNNNNNNNNNNNNNNNNNNNNNNNNNNNNNNNNNNNNNNNNNNNNNNNNNNNNNNNNNNNNNNNNNNNNNNNNNNNNNNNNNNNNNNNNNNNNNNNNNNNNNNNNNNNNNNNNNNNNNNNNNNNNNNNNNNNNNNNNNNNNNNNNNNNNNNNNNNNNNNNNNNNNNNNNNNNNNNNNNNNNNNNNNNNNNNNNNNNNNNNNNNNNNNNNNNNNNNNNNNNNNNNNNNNNNNNNNNNNNNNNNNNNNNNNNNNNNNNNNNNNNNNNNNNNNNNNNNNNNNNNNNNNNNNNNNNNNNNNNNNNNNNNNNNNNNNNNNNNNNNNNNNNNNNNNNNNNNNNNNNNNNNNNNNNNNNNNNNNNNNNNNNNNNNNNNNNNNNNNNNNNNNNNNNNNNNNNNNNNNNNNNNNNNNNNNNNNNNNNNNNNNNNNNNNNNNNNNNNNNNNNNNNNNNNNNNNNNNNNNNNNNNNNNNNNNNNNNNNNNNNNNNNNNNNNNNNNNNNNNNNNNNNNNNNNNNNNNNNNNNNNNNNNNNNNNNNNNNNNNNNNNNNNNNNNNNNNNNNNNNNNNNNNNNNNNNNNNNNNNNNNNNNNNNNNNNNNNNNNNNNNNNNNNNNNNNNNNNNNNNNNNNNNNNNNNNNNNNNNNNNNNNNNNNNNNNNNNNNNNNNNNNNNNNNNNNNNNNNNNNNNNNNNNNNNNNNNNNNNNNNNNNNNNNNNNNNNNNNNNNNNNNNNNNNNNNNNNNNNNNNNNNNNNNNNNNNNNNNNNNNNNNNNNNNNNNNNNNNNNNNNNNNNNNNNNNNNNNNNNNNNNNNNNNNNNNNNNNNNNNNNNNNNNNNNNNNNNNNNNNNNNNNNNNNNNNNNNNNNNNNNNNNNNNNNNNNNNNNNNNNNNNNNNNNNNNNNNNNNNNNNNNNNNNNNNNNNNNNNNNNNNNNNNNNNNNNNNNNNNNNNNNNNNNNNNNNNNNNNNNNNNNNNNNNNNNNNNNNNNNNNNNNNNNNNNNNNNNNNNNNNNNNNNNNNNNNNNNNNNNNNNNNNNNNNNNNNNNNNNNNNNNNNNNNNNNNNNNNNNNNNNNNNNNNNNNNNNNNNNNNNNNNNNNNNNNNNNNNNNNNNNNNNNNNNNNNNNNNNNNNNNNNNNNNNNNNNNNNNNNNNNNNNNNNNNNNNNNNNNNNNNNNNNNNNNNNNNNNNNNNNNNNNNNNNNNNNNNNNNNNNNNNNNNNNNNNNNNNNNNNNNNNNNNNNNNNNNNNNNNNNNNNNNNNNNNNNNNNNNNNNNNNNNNNNNNNNNNNNNNNNNNNNNNNNNNNNNNNNNNNNNNNNNNNNNNNNNNNNNNNNNNNNNNNNNNNNNNNNNNNNNNNNNNNNNNNNNNNNNNNNNNNNNNNNNNNNNNNNNNNNNNNNNNNNNNNNNNNNNNNNNNNNNNNNNNNNNNNNNNNNNNNNNNNNNNNNNNNNNNNNNNNNNNNNNNNNNNNNNNNNNNNNNNNNNNNNNNNNNNNNNNNNNNNNNNNNNNNNNNNNNNNNNNNNNNNNNNNNNNNNNNNNNNNNNNNNNNNNNNNNNNNNNNNNNNNNNNNNNNNNNNNNNNNNNNNNNNNNNNNNNNNNNNNNNNNNNNNNNNNNNNNNNNNNNNNNNNNNNNNNNNNNNNNNNNNNNNNNNNNNNNNNNNNNNNNNNNNNNNNNNNNNNNNNNNNNNNNNNNNNNNNNNNNNNNNNNNNNNNNNNNNNNNNNNNNNNNNNNNNNNNNNNNNNNNNNNNNNNNNNNNNNNNNNNNNNNNNNNNNNNNNNNNNNNNNNNNNNNNNNNNNNNNNNNNNNNNNNNNNNNNNNNNNNNNNNNNNNNNNNNNNNNNNNNNNNNNNNNNNNNNNNNNNNNNNNNNNNNNNNNNNNNNNNNNNNNNNNNNNNNNNNNNNNNNNNNNNUGCUUAAUGAGAAGGGCCAUCAGUGGGGGCUUUCUAUCUGGAUGGAGGAUUAGAGGCAGGGGUGGAGAAGGGAUUAUGAUAUCCCAUUUGCUCUUUGCGGACGACACCUUGGUGUUUUGUGAGGAGUCCCAGGAUCAGUUGACGUAUCUAAGUUGGCUUCUCAUGUGGUUUGAGGCUUGCUCAGGUUUGAAAGUUAACUUGGAGAAGAGUGAGCUUAUUCCGGUGGGGAGGGUGACUGAUAUAGAGGAUUUGGCUCUGGAGUUAGGUUGUAAGGUGGGGGGUCUGCCUUCUAGGUAUUUGGGUUUGCCUUUGGGGGCACCUUUCAAAUCAGAGGUGGUAUGGGAUUGUGUUGAAGAGAGGUUUAGGAAAAGGUUGGCUAUGUGGAAGAGACAGUAUAUUUCCAAGGGGGGAAGACUCACCCUUAUUCGGAGCACUCUUUCCAGUUUGCCGGUUUACUUCAUGUCUCUUUUCCUUUUGCCCAGAAAAGUUAGGAUGCGGUUGGAGAAGAUUCAGAGGGACUUCCUGUGGGGGGGAGGUGCUCUUGAACAGAGGCCUCAUCUGGUUAGGUGGACUCUGGUUUGCUUGGAAAAGAAGAAAGGUGGUUUGGGGGGUAAGAAACUUAGCGUUGAUGAAUAAAGCUCUCUUAUGCAAGUGGAAUUGGCGUUUUGCCACUGAAAGAGAGGUGCUGUGGAAGAAAGUGAUCAGUCACAACAUGGUGUAGAGGAGGGGGGUUGGUGUACUCGGCCGAAGAGGGAGCAUGGUGUAGGGCUGUGGAANNNNNNNNNNNNNNNNNNNNNNNNNNNNNNNNNNNNNNNNNNNNNNNNNNNNNNNNNNNNNNNNNNNNNNNNNNNNNNNNNNNNNNNNNNNNNNNNNNNNNNNNNNNNNNNNNNNNNNNNNNNNNNNNNNNNNNNNNNNNNNNNNNNNNNNNNNNNNNNNNNNNNNNNNNNNNNNNNNNNNNNNNNNNNNNNNNNNNNNNNNNNNNNNNNNNNNNNNNNNNNNNNNNNNNNNNNNNNNNNNNNNNNNNNNNNNNNNNNNNNNNNNNNNNNNNNNNNNNNNNNNNNNNNNNNNNNNNNNNNNNNNNNNNNNNNNNNNNNNNNNNNNNNNNNNNNNNNNNNNNNNNNNNNNNNNNNNNNNNNNNNNNNNNNNNNNNNNAGAAACGGUGGAUCAUCUUUUACUCCAUUGUGUUAUGACGAGGACAUUGUGGAAUCUUCUUUUUUCUCUCUUUGGUGUGGAGUGGGUUCUCUCUGGUACAGUUAAGGAUACUCUCCUGGGGUGGCAUGGAGCGUUUGUGGGGAAAAUCCGUAAAAAGGCGUGGCAAAUGGCCCCCUUAUGUAUAUUUUGGUCAGUGUGGAAGGAAAGAAAUUCGUUGGCUUUUGGGAACAAGGUGUUGUCAAUCCAAAGGUUGAAACAUUCUUUUGUAUGUAAUUUGUGGUCAUGGGUGAGGAUGUUUAUAGUUUUGAGCCCGCGGUCUCUGGUUAGCUUUAUUGAGUGGCUAGGCUUUUGUUAUAGGUAGGGGUUUUGGCUCGCUUCCUUGGUGUAGUGUCGAGGGGCUGCUUUUGUAUACUCUUUGUAUACCUAGAGGACACUAGUUUGGUGUUUCCUCUUUCAUUUUAAUAUACUUCACUUUACUUAUCAAAAAAAAAAAAAAAAAUUUGGUUUCUCUUGAGUUUAUUUGAUACUCUUAAAUAUCUCUUUCUUCUCAAUGGUUCAUUUUAUCCAGUGGAUUUUGCAACUGAGAGAUUCAAAUUAUUAUGCUUUUGCUGAUAGGAAGUCAUGGAGAUGGGCAUCCUUCAAACACUGAUACACCCCUUGUUGUUUGGGGAGCAGGCGUUAAACAUCCUAGACCAAUGUCUGAAAGCAACCAUUCUGAUUGUGGUUUUCGUUUUGUGGAUGAACAUAUGCAUGACACACCGACACCUAUAGAAUGGGGUCUGAAUGACUUGGAAAGGGUGGAUGUUAAUCAAGCUGAUAUUGCACCACUAAUGGUUGUACAGUUUGUCUUUCUCAGGUUUCUUCUUUGAAGCUUAAUUAUUUACUUAAAAACCUUUUUUAUUUUAUUUUUCUGGUGUGCUUAUUGACUUUUGGCAGUCAACACUUCUUGGUUCUCCAUGUCCUGUUAACUCUGUUGGCAAUUUACCCCUCGGCUACAUUAACAUGACAGAGGUGAGUUCAACCCUUGAUCAGUAGUUCACUUCUUAGUUUUAAUGAAGGAUUGCAUGUUUUGUCAUGGAUAUUGGAAUGCAUUUUGUUUUGUUUUCCAUUUUAUGAAUUGAGUUGUUCCAGAUUGAGAAUGAAUGAGUGAAAAUAUGACAUCUAUUUUGUUUUAUUUUUUAUGUCCAGGCAGAUGAAGUUGAAGCUGUGCUCGCUAAUACAAAGCAAGUUCUCAAUCAGUUCCUUCGCAAGUCAAGUAUCCUCUUUAUAUAUCAAACUAUUUCUUAGUUUUGUGGGCGUUAAGCAUUGCUUCCCUUUUUCCCCAUUGCUUUCUGUAGAAGAUUAUUGACUUUCUUCUGCAUCUCUCUAAAUUUAUUGAAUUACUUUUCCUUGCUCUCUGAAAAUGUAACAUAGUUGUUCUGUUUUCAAAAUUUCAAUGGGUACAUAUUAUUUUUUCAUGCUUUUAUUUUGUCUAUCAUCUAUUACUUCGAUCCUGUUAUUCAUUUGCCCAUUACAUAAAAAGGCUGUUAUUCAUUAGUUACAUCUGUCUAAGAAUUUCUUCAUCAUUUAUUAUUUUAAACCUUCUGGAGAUAUGGGGGAUAGGAGGGCAAGAAGCAGGGAAUAACUUUGCUAUUUUCUGUUAAUUUUCUUGACAAGCUCAGAAAUAAAGCAGUCAAAUUCGUUAAAUUUCAAGCCUUUCAAGCCCCUGGCUCAUUAUUCCUCAGUAUUGGAUCAAAUUGAAGAUCUGAUAUCUGUUAAAGACUAUGAUGCUGCAAUGAGAGUAGCUCAAAAUCUCAAAAGUUUGGCACUGGAGGGGCUUCAUUAUUUCCAAACUUACGAUUGGUUGAUGCUGAUGACUGUAGUUACCCUUGGUUACAUUGGAUGGAUGGUAUAUCUUGUUCUCCAUGUGCUACAAAAUUAUACCUCCUUGCCAGAAAAUAUGUUCAGAAAGGAGCAAGCAGUCCAUCUAAGAAAUUACACUGGAAAGGUAAUGUUCAUAUCAACUUAAACUCUUGAAAUUACAUUUGUCCAAAAAUAAGAAAAAGAGCAGGAAACCAAAAGAAAGAAAGAAAGAAAGAAAUGAAGAGGGAGAGUGAGAUAAGACAUGUUAAAUAUAUGAAGUUUGAAUGCCACCCCCCCAUCUCCCCAAUUGUGGUGGCCUGGUGCUGUGAAUGCAUGAAGUUCAGGCCUCUUUUGUAUUUUUCAAUACUUCCUAUUUAUUUGCAUUUUGAACGUGUAUCUCUUGAAAACUUUGAUAUAAUAGGAGUUAAUUAAGAAACAUUUGUCCAAACAUAUGAAGUUUGAAGCCCUUGUUGCCAGGUGCUUUGAGUUCUGUGGAAACCUGAAGUUAAUGCCUCCUUUGUAUUUUUCAAUACUCUCUUUUCAUUUGCAUUGUGAAUUUAUAGCAAUGUAAAAAUGAGAUACAAAUAGGAGUUAAUUAAGAAUGUAGCUACUUGUGGAUUCUUGUGGGAAUUGGUUGGUAGUUUAUUUCCUUCUCCUUGUGUUGCAAUCAUGUCUGAACCUUUUUGAAAAGGAGUAAGCAUGUCAUCAGAGAACAUUCAAUUGAGAAACAAUCCAAGCAAGUAAUGUUUAUGUUAGUUUAACUUGCGGUAAAAUGCAAUAACUAAUAUGGUUAGUAAAAACAUUUUUUAAAACGAAAGGAAAUAGGAAACAAAUGAAAGAAUUAGUUUGAGUUGCUGGACUCUAAACUCUAAUCAAAAGUCCCCCUGAUUAUAUAUUUGCUGCCUAAUGCAUCUGUUUGAACUCUAAACAGAAGUUCUCCUGGCUGAUUAUGUGCCCCCCCACUAUGCGCGUUUUUUUUUUCUAUUCCAACUGGGCUAGCUAAUGCUAUAUAACCAUUAAAGCAUGCCAUCUUGCACUUUAUAUGUCAGCCUUGCUGAUCUAUUUUUCUGUUUGUUGGUUGUUCUAUUUGUGCCUUAUUUGCUUCUUUGUGGUGGGUAUCUGUCUUCCCCCUCUGUUAUGUAUGGGUUGAUGGAUGAGGAAUACCACAUAAAUUUUACUUGGCAAAUGACAAAUGUUCCAAACAUGUUGAUGACACUUAUGAUCAAAACAGGUUAUAAGUAGUUAGAUUUCUUCUUUAACAAUUUUUACAACUAGUGUUACACACCACUUGGUCAAAAAAGAAAAAAGAAAAAAGAAAAAAAUGAAAAACUAACAUACAAGGAGCGAGAACUGGAGUUUCUUUCAACAUCUCCAAUCAAGAAUUUGGGGAGCUUGCAUGUCCCAUAUCCUCACUCUUCCUUGUUUAUCUUUUGCCUUCUUUUUGAGAUGUGAGAGUUUGAUCUUUGGGUUCCUUAGGCAUAUUCCUGGUUAGUUUCCUUUUUAAAGCUUUGUCUAUUUCUGUUAAUAUGGUCAUUUUCCUUCUACUAAAUUUCAUUUGGAACUCUGAAGCCUCUUGUAGAGCUGAGCCUUGGCAUGGCUUGUAACAAAUAAGAAAGUUAAUUCCAAUAGUGUGCUUCAAAAGAGGAGGCCUUUCAAAGCCCUUUGCCCUGAUUGGUGCAUUAUCUGGUUGAAGAGGGGAGAAACAGUUGACCCUUUUUUUGGCAUUUCUCAGGACUAUUGCAUAAGCUGUUCAAACUUGCUAGGAUUGAUUUGGCUUCUCCCAAAAGUGUGAUAGAGAUGAUGGUAAUUUCCUUAAGGGGUUUUGAAGAUCUUUUGAGGGGUUGAGUUCCUGGUAUGUGGCUAGCCUCACUGUGAUUUGGACUAUUUGGCAAGAGAGAAAGGUUGGGAUAUUUUAAGACAAGUGAAGAUCUACCGGGAACUCUUCAGGACUUGACUUAUUGGUAUACUUCUACCACUGAUGCCUUUGCUAGUAUGCCCUUGUUAUCAUCGGAUUGGUAUCACAUUUGUAGAACCAAGAAGUUAGGCAAUGACUCAACCUGAGUGGUUUCCACCUCCAGUGAGCUCUAUAGAAUUUAAUUUCGAUGGUUGUUCCUUGGGAAACCUAUGACAGUUUAACUGAUGACAGCUUGGGAUUGGAGGAAUGUUAGAAGAUAAUUGUGUGGUACUCAAAGCACUUUCUAAACCAGUGGAGAGCAUAUAUUGGUAUUGGUAUUGCUACUGCUAUUGAGGCAGAUAUACAACCUCUGUUAGUGGGGUUUAUUGCAGCCUAAAGCUUUUAUUCUUCAGAUUUGUGGGUUGUUGGUGACUACGCCAUUUUCAUUUUAGCCUAAAGAAAAGAAGUUUAUGGAAUGGAAGUAUGAUGGUGGAACUGUCAAAUUUUUUAUGUUACUAGACACUUGAGAUGUUCUUUUUCUUGGCUCCAUACAUUGCUAACCAAGAAGUGGAUUUUUUAGCCAAGUGAGGGGCCAAACACUUUUAGCAUUCUUUGUCGGGGACUUUACCCCCUUGAGCUAUGAUCUGUAGCUUUGGAUUGUAUUUUUGGUUUCCUUCAUAAGUCGUGCUGCUUAUUUUGCUCUUUUUUAAUGAGAUUGACAUAUCGACCCUUUUUUAUCAGUUUUUUCAUUUUUGUGUAAAUCUUGGAAAGAGUCCUAUCCUUCUUUAACUUGAUGAGAUUUAAUGUAAUGUAUUAUCUUGUUUCUAGUGAAGAAAAAUAGAAAUCCAAUGCAAUAUAUUUUCUUGUUUCUGAUUCAGAAAAAAAAAGGAUAAAAAAAAUCCAAGAUAUUGUAUUUGUUUUAAUUUAGUUAAUUUAUACAUUAUAUUUUAUAAAGCAUUGCUCAUUCACAUCUUUUCAGAGCUCUGUAGCAGGCUUCUUUUUCACUACCACCAUUUACUCUCCAUCAUGUGUCAUUCAUCAUCUAAUUUCAUUGUGUCUAAUUAUGCAUUAUAUUUCUUAUAUUUCUUCUUAUCUAUGACAGGUAUAUCUUUGUGGAUAUCUGUUGAUUGGAGUGCUUUGUCUUCUGCUGUUCCUGGAGCACUCUCCUCCCCUUUACCAUGCAUACACUGCUAUGACAGUAUUUCUCUGGACACAAAUAUUUAGUGAGUAUUGGUUUUUGAAAGGAUUAUGGAGACACUUACGUCGGAGUAAAUAUGAUUAUAUCAUUAAACUCCUUGCAACUUGUGCUGUUUCAAUAUUCAUUCUUGAAUUCCUGGUAUGUGGGGAUCAAACUUAUCAACAAUUGUUCUGUGAUUAUCCAUGUUGAAGUGGCUUCUGAGCAUCCUAAUUUGUCUUAAUUGGCACAUUGUGCAGGUGAACAGCUUCACUGAGAGGAAGCUCUACACUUGGUGCUUUCUAGUAGUGGGAGUUGUUGCUUCUGUUUUUCUUUUUAAAUCAAUUCCAUGGAGAUCUGGGAUACCAAUUUUUGUGUGGGUUGCAUGUUGGUUUUUGUCUGUUUUCACUUUGAUGCCAGCAGAAAUUCCUGAUAAUAAUCAACUAGUGUAAGUCAAUUCACUCAAGUUUGUCCCUCUGUAUUCCUUAUUUUGAUCCCUUGAAAUGUCAAAGCUUUUUAUAGGACCAGACAGUUAUCAUGAUUGCCAUAAUUGUUAGUGAUGUUCCAAAUUGUUCAAACUGUCACAUAGGGAAGCCAAGGGGUAAUUAAAAAAUGUCUGGCUGUCCCAAAUUUUAUUACUUAAAAGCCAUAAGAAGAGGAAAUAUCAUCAAAUAACUUCAUGAUAUUAAAAUAAAUGCUCUCCCUGUUGUGAAUACUCAAAUUCAUCCUUUUCCCCAAAAAAUUAUAACAUUUGUUAAGGUCAUAUGCUCAAUCAUUGACAAGGAACCUCUUCCAUUUAGUGAGUCCUUUUUUAUUUUUAUUUUUAUUUUUAUGGUUGAAUUGCUGUGGAAAAUAUAGGACGAGAAGUUAAAAUUCUCUCUUAUAUAAAUUACGUGUGUGGGAUUAAGCUACACUAUGUUAGUGCCUUUGUGGAUGAAUGUCUGAUUAGUUAAUUGCUUUACAUUUGCAAAAGAUGAUUGUACAUUGUGUUUGAAACUACAUUUAGUUUGCCUCCUCUUUCUCAUGGAGUAUCUGGCCUUCCUAGUUUAAAACUGAAGUUUAUUUAUAUAUAACACUAUUAUAUCAUUAACAGGAUUAUAAAAUUGUAGCAUCAAUUGAGGAUAUUGGUUCAAUUGGUUGUUAUGUGUGAGUUGAUCAUGACUUGUGAGUUAACAAUUAUUUUUGUGUAGGAUUGCAAGUGGAAUUAUGAUUAUCAUGAUAGGAAUAGCUGCAAGGAUACUGGAUAUGCAUACUGAAAGGAAUAAAUAUUGGCUAUGCAUCCUUAGUCAUGAUAGGCAGAAACACCGGUUCCCCAUGCUCUUCCACUUACAGGUGCAGAAUAUGUCUUUUACUCUCCAGAUAUUAGAAUCUUAAAAAUUUUUGCUACUAAACAAUCUGAAAUUAGUAUUUUCAUUACAUUAAAAUUAGGCACUUUUGGUUGGGUUGUCAUCAUUGAUGGUGUCAUUAUCAACGUCUCACAGAACUCAAAAGCAAGAACUGCUUCCAGCGCACCAGUUGAUUAACUGGUCUAUUGCUGGUAUACUUUUGGCAUAUCCCUUUUUUCUGCUUUGUUUUACCAAUGCUAUUCAGGGCUUUCCUAUACAGUUUAGAUUAUCAAAUGAUUUAUUUUUCUCUUUCUCCUCUUUUUUUUUUUUUUUCAAUAAUUAACUAAAAUACUCAAAAUGUUCAUUUCAUUUUAUAUGGUACUAACUUUUUUUUAUUUUUUUUUGUACUGUACCAACUGGCACUGAUAAUUAGCAUACCGUUUCUUUGUGUUAACCAUGUGCUUACUGAUAGAACAUUGCUUUGAUUGAUUGAGUGCACUGUAAGUGACUAAUAUUGUUAAGAAACCUUAUCUGCAAAAAUGGCAUUUCAUACUGGAAGAGAAAUUAUUUAAGCUAAAAAUGGAAAUGAGAACUACAUCUUCAGAAAAAUUUCAUAUCAAGCUUACAAUGUAUUGUCUGACUACAUUUUGUACAUUGAUCAUUAGGCCUAUAGCACUACAACUGCACAAACAUAGCAUAUUUCUAGAUUGAAUAUAAUCACACACAUGUAAUUCAAGUACCUGAAUCAUUAGUCUGUUUCUUUGUUAUUUAUAAGCAUUGCUGAUUUUUAUUUUGACAAACAUGCAUUAAUUUUUUUUUUUUUUUGGGUAGAGAUGCUCAUUGUUUCUGUAUGUUUACUCUUUCCUUUUUGAACCUUGUAUGAUUCAAUGCCGAGUUUCAUCAGCUUGAAACAGUCAUGGCUGCAUGUUUGUUUAUUUAUUUAUACUAUUUAUGAUUUUAAUAAGGAUACAUGUCUAACUUAUCCUGUUAAUUUGUUUUUCAGGUUUCUCGAUGGUUCUCCCUUUGUUUUCAGCAAGUGGCCUCUUGUCCCGACUGACUUCUAUAUUUCUUGGCUUUGCACCCACAUUCCUACUUCUAUCAAUUGGGUAUCUCUAAUUUCUAGAUCACUGUGAUGCUAUUACUGGUUUAACAAUUAGUGGACAUGCAGAAUGUUCAGAUACAAAUAAAUGACAUCCUUUUGGUAAAACUCAUGCAGAUACGAAGCUGUCUUCUAUGGUGCACUUGCUCUUGUACUUAUGGCAUGGAUGCUAUUUGAAAAUACACUUCUCUAUUUAAGUAAGGUGAAAAUGUCCUCUGCUUCCAUGAAAAAUAUGGAGGGUAAAGUCAUCCUUGACAAUGAUGAUAGAUGCUUGCAGUUGUUUGAUGUGAGAAUCCCAUUGAUCUUUGUAAGUCACAUCCUGCUCCCCCUUUUCUAGUCUGUGAUCAGUUAAUGAACUUCAUCUUGUUCAUGCUUUCCCCCCAUCGGAUUAGUAACAAAAACACCAGCAUGAAGUACUAGGGUCUAUGUCUGGAUUUUAGCUCAUACACCUCAGUUAUAUCUACUGUACCAUGACUUAAAAUCUGUUCAUUUUUAUUUUAUUUUUUUUUAUCUCAAUUUCCAUUUUUUCUUUUAGCAGAAGAGUUCAUUUUCUUAUUUGACAUAUUUGGUUUUUGAACUUCUCUUUUAGAGCUUUCUUACAUCAAAUACUAACUGAACUGAUGGAGGGGAUCAUAGUUUUAAAUGGUGCAAGGCGCACCUAAGACUCAAAAGUCUUCUAUAGUUUAGGCGCAAGGUGCAACACCAAGUGCACAUGUGAGUGAAGCGAAAUCUAACUUAGGAUGCAUAUAAAUUAAUAUAUGAUCCAAAAUCUAAUCCAAUCAAUAAAAAAUUUAAGAUUCCAAAUAUUUUAAAAAAGUGUUGAGCAAAAGAGGUAAUAAAAUUCUAUAAAUUUCAAUAUAUAAUUAGAAAUUUAAAAAAUAAAGGUGUUUAAAAAGGAAAAAUAAAGUAGAUAAGUUGUGCCUCUUGAACAAGGCACAUGUCUUGGCAAGCAAGGCCCUAUAACUAGUGAGUGGUUGCACUUUGGGCCCAUGCGUGCUUUAAGUGCACCUGUUAAAACUAUGUGGGGGGGAUUUGAGAUUCAGGACCAGCAUUGUAUUUACAAUCUGAAUACAAGUCCAUUAUUAAUUGCAUUUAUGAUGAUCAUUUUAACCUCCACAAACAAGUGCCUCUUCAUGAAUUUCUACAGUAUUCGGGGGAUUUGAGGCUCAGGACCAGCAUUUUAUUUACAAUCUGAAAAAAGGUUCAUCAUUAAUUGCAUUUAUGAUGAUCAUUUUAACCUCCACACACAAGUGCCUCUUCGUGAAUUUCUACAGUAUUUUGCUGAAAUCACAAUAUGCACCACCAUUGACAAAUUUGUGUAAAGGUCUAAUUAUGUAAAUAAGUUGAAUAACUUAUUUUAAAACUGUAUUGAAAGUUCACAUAGUCAUGACAUCUAUACAGCUCUAAUGGCCUUUUUCCCUCUGUAGAUGGUCUUAUUUAAUGUUGCAUUUUUUGGAACGGGUAACUUUGCAAGUAUUGCAAGUUUUGAGAUUUCCUCUGUUUAUCGGUUCAUCACAAUCUUCAGUGUAAGUAAAGGUUAAACAUCUGAAGAUAAUUUUUUGUCCUUGUUUGACAUCUAGUGCUGAUCUGACACUAUUACUUCUGAUUGCAGCCAUUUCUGAUGGCAGCCCUACUUAUUUUCAAGUUGUUUAUACCAUUCAUGCUUGUCAUGUAAGUGAAAUUACAAUGUUUAUUAUAUCUCAUAGCCAUUAGCUAGCUAUAUAUCUUGAAGAUUAUUCUUCUGUUUGAAGACUCAUAAUCUGUUAUGACAUUUUGAUUCAGGCAUAGAUUUCAAAUUUUUGAAGUUGACUUAUAGAAUCUACAUAUUAUUAUGAGAACUGCAUUAGAUCCAAUUCUUUUUCUCAUUAUUUUACAUUGUUUGUGAUUCUGCACUAACAUGGGUGUAUUUUAUGCCCAUGUUAUGUGCUGUUAUAUUCACUUAUGUUCUUAUUUUGGACAUUUAAAAAUAGCAGUUUUCAUAUUUUCCAUGUGGUAAAUUUGAAUGCAGAUGCGUGUUUAGUGCAAUAACCAAACUAAUUCAAAUUCCACGGUUGGGAUGCUAUUUCCUCGUUAUACUAUUUUCAGAUGUGAUGACUAUCCACUUCUUCUUCCUGGUAAGUUCACUGUAUUCUCCAUGGGUACUUUUAUUUCUCUGCAUUCUUAUUUCUUCCUUAAUUUGAAUGAAACCUUGGUCUCAUGGUUCCUUUUCCCAAUCAUACUAAAAGGGCUUUGCAACAGUUCCAUUUUAUAGCUCACAUAGAUAAACUGACCUAGUUUUCAACAAUUGUGGUUAAAAGAUGUGAAAUCUUCAUUCUUUGUAUCUAUAAGCGUGUGAUUGUUCUGCAUAUUCUUUUUGUUGUGAAAACCCAAAUGUGUUUGAUUGACACUUGUUUUUUUGCAUGAGUAUGUUAUAUGGCCUUGUAUUCACUUCCUCGGCAAAGUCUAUUCUUUUAAAUAUUUCAUUUUGCUUCUACAAAAAUCUCACAGGCUCUUCCAAUUUUAAAGCAAGCUCACCUUUUUGAAUUUGAUGGCAUCAAACAAAAUGGUGCUUCUCUAAUUUUUUUUGGCCCAAAAUAAUCUUGCAAACAAAUCCUCUUUCCUUUUAACAGAGAUUUCAUUCAAGUUUGAGGGAAUCUAGCAUGUGGCUGUGGUUUCCAAAGAAUGCCAGUAGCAUUCUCUGGGGUCAUCUCAACUCAAACCUACUGAAAUCUAAAAAACAACUAUUUUUAUGGUGCAAACUCACCAAAUCGUCCACUUAUUGUGUGGGUUUAGAUCAGCCAUUAUAACAUUGUUCCACCAAAGUUUCUUGUAAAUACAAGUGAAUAUCAGAAAUCAAGCUUGUAAUUUUUAUUUCUCAUAUUUUUUGGGAAGUGGGAUGUUUGGGUCAUAAAAGAGUCUUUAGCCUUUGUGGAUCAUGCUUUGAUUCCUAAAGCUGCCACCAAAUAGUUGGCAAUAGGAUUAUUGACUGGUUGGUUUGGGGUUAGCUGAGUGGAAAUAUGAACACAUGCAUCUUAUUACAUGUUUCUGAAAGCUUGCUGAUAACAUUAUGAUGGGUAACAGGUUCGAAAUACGGGAAGCUGGAUGGAAAUUGGUAACAGCAUCAGCCAUUUUGGAAUCGUUAGCGCACAAGUUGUGUUUGUGCUAUUGCUUUUUGCCCUCACAAACAUAUACACAAGAGACAUUCAGACCAGAUCUGUUCUACCAUCCUCUAGGAAAGCAUUGUAGGUCAUUUGAAAUUGGGAUUUCAGCACCAAAGUCAAAUUGCCUUCCUUCCUGAAAGAUGAGCAUUUUUUAUACUCUUACAUCGGCUUUUAUGGAAAUGAAAUCAGCUUCUCAUUCUGUUACAUAUUUCAAUUUUACUGCCUAUAACUGCUCACUGGCUGUUUGUGAGAGGUAUGGACCCAUGGGACAUUAUCCAGAUUUUCCCUGAUCAAUUAUAGAAAGGUCAUUGGACUCAUCCAUGAUUGGAAUUUCCUGUUAUCAUUAUUUGCAAAUCAUCAACCAUUUGUCAUGAUAUCUUAAGUUCAGCUGAGCAAGAUUUUCAGCUAAGAUCCUCAGAACUAGAAAUAUGCACUGCAGGUAUUACUUGAUAUGUGAAUAUCCAAUACGAUAUUUUUUUACUAAGAGGAAUACGAAUUUGAAACACUUUCCAAUAAUUUAUCAAGUCAUAUUUUUGUGUUGUCGUGAUACAUGUGUCUACUGUAUGCAUGGCUUUUCUUUUCUACACAUGCCUUUAUCUUUGCACAUGACUCUUUUGAUACACGCCAGCAUCAAGGCAAUUGCCUAAAUCUAAAUCACAUCCUUUGUGUCACGUCUUCCUUGUGUACCACGGUCCCUCUUGUACACCAUGGUCCCUUAAUGUAACUUGUGCCACAAGCCCUUUGUGCAUGAAUUCAAACUGUUCAAUCAUUUCGCCAUUUAUACCUUUUGAGGUCCAACAAGCGUAUACAAGAGACUACACUCAUUCUAGAUGAUGAAGUACAUUCUAAUGAAAGGAACCAUGUUGAAGACUCGUAUCCCUUUAUGUGUGAGAUUGAUUUUAUCUUUGUGUUUUGUACCAAGUAUGUUAGAAUUGAAGCUUUUGCCUACAUAAGUGGCAUGAAAGUUUUCACUAGCUCCAAAUCCCUAACACACACAACCUUGGCUUACUUCUUGAGCCGAUACAAAAAAUCAGAGCCUUAACUCAUCCCGACCCCUAUAAGAGGCCCUAGCCAUCACAUUGGAGCUUAACCAUCUUACAACACAUCCAUCAGAAUUUAGACUAUUCAUAGAAACAUUCUUAACAUGUAAAUCUACUAUUGCCAUGCACGUCAACAUAGAAUUUCUAAAAUUUUUGGAUAAAAUAAAUAAAACAAAAGAAACCCUCCCAAGAGAAUUUCAUAAUCUAAUGUCAAAUCUACUACGAAGAUGAACAUCAUAAAAUUUAAGGUUUAUAAUCAAAGUCGACUUGAAUCUGAGUUUUAAAACCAAUUUGCAGUUUUUAAGUUUGGAGACUAGAUCUCUUAAACCAAUUAAAUGUAAAAAACUACAAAGAAAACUUCAAUUUUUGAAAUGAAAAUGAGAAUGCAAUUCCUAACUAGUUUCUUCAUCAAAAAUCCCCAAAAAAAAAAAAAAAAAAAAGAGAGAGAGAGAGACCAUAGACGCCAGUGUUUGGGUUUAGAACCACCCAAGGGAGAGUAGUCCAAUAUAUGGGCUUAAGAAAAUCCUCAUGGGCUAAGACUAGGAACAAUCUUGUAUCCGUGGUUGGUUUAGUAUGAGCAUGUGUACUGCGAAGGAAGUAGCUGAGAAUUGCAAUGGAAUUUCCAGUAUUGCUUCCUGAACGAACAAAACGCAUACCCAAGACUUGGUCGUCAACGCCAUGCUGGGUGAGAACCGGGGAAGCAUCUUCGCUCGUUGACGAGCUUUUGUAGUCUUUCUUUAACAAUUAUAAGGCAUCUGAAUUCCCUUCAUCCUCCCACACCAUUGUUUUUGGUCUUAUUCUUGUUGCUUUGUGACUACGCAUCUCCAUGGAAGGAAGGAGGAUGAACCAAGUUCCUUUGUAUGCAUCAAUUUUACUGUUUUUUUUUUCCUUUUUAAUCUUUGGAUCGAAUCAUUGCUUAGUUCUUGCUUAAUUUCUCCAUUUUAUGGUGGGUCUUUGAUUGCAGGUUUAGCUCUGCGCGAGAACUGGGAAAUUUAAUUGUGACCUCCAAUCUAAUCGACUCUGCUUUGACUAAAAUUCUUGAGCUUCAAAGAGACCAAACAGCCUUGCCUUCCCCCGUUCAAUACAGAGUUUUUUAUCCAUCUCCCAAGUGCACAAUUGUAGCUUUUGUCUCUUCACCUGACUGCACUCAAAACCCUCUUCCUGGACAAGGAGAUUUAGUUCCCUCUCCUCUCUUUGACUUCCUCUGCACCGAAGAAUACCCUUCCGUCUCCAUUAACGGAGCCGCAUUAACCCUCUUUACCUCUCUCUACGAUCAUCUCUCUGGACUAAUAGAUGAGGUCAAAAUCUGAUACUUGUUUUAAUUUACGUUAACUUUUCGUUAACAAUUGUGAGACACGAAACAGCUUGACCAUGAGAUCUCCCUCAUGGAGUCAAAACCCGUGUUGGUAUCUGUUUUUAGAUCAACUUAUAUAUAUAUAUAUAUAUAUAUAUAUAUAUCUUGUGGAUAAAAGGAAAGUUUACAAGUGAGAAUAGUGGCAUUUUUCUGACAGAUUUCACACCGUUGCUUGUUUUGCAGUUGACUGUGAUUGAAGGUCGAUUAAUCAUCACUGGGCACUCGAUGGGAGGAUCCGUUGCUUCUCUCUUCACCUUAUGCCUGCUAGAAGUCAUUAAUAUAUCAAAACCCAAAUGCCGCCCCAUUUGCAUCACCUUUGGUUCACCCCUCAUAGGCGACUUUGGCCUCCAACACUCCAAUUGGAAUUCUUUCUUCUUGCAUGUAGUGUCCAACCAAGAUCUAGUCCCCGGACUCUUCCUCCCAUCCGGCAGAUCUCCUCCCACAUCCUCCCAUUCACAAACUACUGGUUACAAGCCCUUUGGGACAUAUCUCUUGUGCUCUGAACUUGGUUGUGCUUGUUUUGACAACCCUGAUUUAAUUUUGGAAUUGCUGAAAGUCAUAUCAUCAGAGGUUGCCGGAGGAUUGCGGGAUGUUGAUUACAGGAAGAUUUUAAUAAACCUCAAGGAGAGGGCAAUCUUCAAGGGACUUCAGCAGGUGGGUGAAAGGUUUGCAGAUCCCUUGUCAGCUGGGAUCGUCAUGGACCUUGAGAUAAUUGGAUUUGAUCAAACAAAGGUAAACAGCUUUCUCCCAAUUAAUGAUGUAGUAUGGUUUACACUCAACUUCACCAAAACCUGCAACAACUGCCCUAUUUAGAUUUGCCUUCCUGUUCUUUGGGUUCUUCUAUAACUUCUCAUUUUUUAAAUUCAUGGCAGCUGUUGCGGCACAACAUUGAUAUCAACACUGUGAUAAGGAUACUGGGAGUGGAAGCCAGAAUCCUAGCCCACAAAAAUAAAGCUUCUGAUGCCAAGAAACUGAAUGACAUAAAAAUACACAUGGCCCAGCUAGAAUGGUAUAAGAAGAAAUCAAAAGAUCUGAACAAGGGUUACUACGACUGCUUCAAAAACCAGGGGUCAAAAAGGGACAUUAAAAUUGAACAGUAUAGGGGACACCUCACAAUAUACUGGAAAGACAUGGUUGCACAAGUACAGAGGAAGCCCCAGAAGGAAGGAGCAUCAUUUCGAACCAGUUGGCUCUAUCCAGGGACAACUUAUAGAAGAAUGGUUGAACCACUGGACAUUGCUGCCUUCUACAGAGAGGGUAGAACAGACUACAUAAACAAUGGAAGAUCUCCUCAUUACAAGCUGUUGCAGCAAUGGUAUGAGGAAGAUGUGAAGCCCCCAUCCAGAGAUAAGCUCGAUUCCAAGAAACUAAAGGUGUCUGGUAUCCUAACUGAGGAUUCUUUGUUUUGGGCACAUGUGGAGGAGGCUCUCUUGUCAUGCGAAUCGCUCAAGAGUGCAAACUCUACUCUUGAGCAGAGAAAAUCAUCAUGGGAUAAUCUGGUUAAGUUUGGGGAGUAUGUAAUGGAACAGAUUGGAAACUAUGCAGUGUCCCCUGAGAUUUUCUUGGGGGAAAGCAGCUUCAUGAAAUGGUGGGGAGUGUAUGAGGACUACAUAGAUGCUUCCAAUAAUUCCUAUGGGUCACCAUUGAUCAGCUUUAUGAAGAACCGUAGUUAUAGACUGUAUGGUUAGAGGGCAAUCCAGUUUGUGUAUUGUGUUUAUUGUAUUGUGAGCAUUCAAUAGAUAAAACUAGAAAGAGCGUGACCUUUUUAUGACAACUUUAGAAACCAGGGGUUAAAAGAGACAUUACAAACUGAAGUUUUUGAGAGGAAACCUCAAGAGUAUACUGGGAAGCCAUGGUGGAACAAGUAGAGAGGAAGCCUCAGAAGGAAGGAGCAAUGGUUGAACCACUUGACAUUGUUGCCUACUACAGGGAGGGUGUAAGAAACAACAUAACCGAGGGAAGAUCUGAACGUUAAACGUUGUCCAAUUAUUAUAAAUGUCUUAUACAUUACGUGUGAAAAUACCAAAAAAAAUUAUAUUCAACAUUUAUGUUUGUAUACAAGCAAUAUUUUGGAUAGUUUGAUAUAAAAAACAAAUGAAGAAAAUGAAGAAAAACAUACAAAUAUAUUUACAAUGGACAAACUUAUACAAUUAGUAUAAAUGUCUUGUAUAUUUAGUACAAAUGUCUCGUACUUUGUAAAAAUAUAAAAAUAUAGUAUUUGACUUUUAUAUAUGUGUGAAAAUGUAAAAAGAAAAAGAAAAAUAGUUAGAGCAUUUGGUACCGUGAGUGAUGACUUCACCUAAAGAAAGGUUAAUGAAUAUUAUGGUCUCGAUGGAAGAGCGACUCCGGUAAAAUAUAUGGAUUAAAUUGAUGCUUUUCUUUUGACGAUGAAGUAGUUGAGUUAUGAAUACGAGGUUUUGCUAACAGCAUUGAAGGCAAGGAUUCCCUAAUAUACUCCAAUUCAUAUUCAAUUUGUAGACCUUCAACUAACUACUCUUGCUAACGAGCAUAUCCAAGUCAAUACAUAAGAUUAAUUAAGAUUAAGUAUUACGUAUGAUAAUUGAAACCCUAUUUAAAUAAAUAAUGACACAUAUAUAAAAAAUAUAUAUAUUUUUAAAAAAAUAAAUAACAAUUUAGAGAAUUUCAUAACUUAGCAUCAAACCUAUUGUAAGAAAGAGUAUUAUACAAUGUAGGGUUUAGGAUCCAAGUCAACCUAAGAUCAAAUUUAAGUUUUAAGAUCAAUUCACAUUCAAAACUAAGGUUUUAAGUUUCAAAAAUAUAUUUCUUAAACCAAUUAAAUGGAAAAAAGAAAAUUACAAAGAAAAUUUCUCCCUCAUCAGUUUCUUUUAUCUUGAAAACUAAAGGAAAUAUAUAUCAAUAUUUGAGAUGGAAAUUCAUAAUCUUAGGUGGUGUUUGUUUUUUUGGCUUUUUGCUGAAAACUAUUUAGUUUUAGAAUUUAGGUUUUUUUUUUUUUUUACUUUUUCAUGACUUAUAAUAAACUUUUUACUAAAUAGAAAAAACCAAAAUAUGUGGUUUUUUCUAAAUAGAAAAAAUAACACAAUGGUUUUUUUUACUUUUUAAUACUUAAUAGAAAUAAAAUACUACAAAAACAAACAUCUUAAUAUUUAAUACUAUUAAGUAUUAAGGUUCUAUUUAGAAUUAAGUAAAAAAACAAACACCACCUUAGAAACACAAAGAACAAAGAGAGUAUGAAGAGACCAUACCAUGAGAGAUUUUCCGAAAGGUUGGUAAACCAUGGUAAUCACCUUUGAGUCUUGCUGAGAAAAACAAACCUUAUUUAUUUUUAUUUUUUUAUCAUUUUUUCUCUUGUGUGGUGUACAUUUAAGAAAAACAAAUCUCAAAAAAAAAAAAAAACACAAACCAAAUAAUGCCAGAAUUUGGGUUGAGAAACACCCAAAAGAUAGUGGCCCAAUACAUGUGCCUAAGAAAAUCUUCAUGAGCCGAUAAACAUAGUCACAAAACUAGUAACAGCCUUGUAGCCAUAGUUGGUGUAGUAUGAGCAAGUGGGGUAUGAAGUAGGUAGGUGAGUAUUGCAAUGAAAUUUCCAGCACUGCUUCCUGAAUUAAGAAAUCACAUACCCAAGUCUUAGUCGUCGUCGUCGUCGUACCGUGUGAGAACCGGGAAGAAUCUUUGCUCGUAGACUGGCUUUUGUAGUCUUUCUUUAACAAUUACAAGUUAUCUGAAUUCCCUUCAUCCUCCUAUAUAAUAUUGUUUUGGUCUUGUUCUUGUUGCAUUGUGGCUAGGCAUCUCCAUGGAAGGAAGGAGGAUGAAUCAAGUUCCUUUGUAUGAAUCAAUUUCUCUGCUCUUUUUUUUUUUCAAUCCUUGAAUCGAAUCAUUGCUUAGUUCUUGCUUUAAUUUCUCCAUUUUCUGUUGGGUCUUUGAUUGCAGGUUUAGCUCUGCAAGAGAACUGGGAAAUUUAAUUGUGACCUCCAAUCUAAUCGACUCUGCUUUGACUAAAAUUCUUGAGCUUCAAAGAGACCAAACAGCCUUGCUUUCCCCCGUUCAAUACAGAGUUUUUUUAUCCAUCUCCCAACUGCACAAUUGUAGCUUUUGUCUCUUCACCUGACUGCACUCAAAACCCUCUUCCUGGACAAGGAGAUUUAGUUCCCUCUCCUCUCUUUGACUUCCUCUGCACCGAAGAAUACAAGUCCGUCUCCAUUAACAGAGCUGCAUUAACCCUCUUUACCUCUCUCCACGAUCAUCUCUCUGGACUAAAAACUCAGGUCAAAAUAUGAUAGUUGUUUUUAUUUUCGUUUCCUUUUUGUUAACAAUUGUGAGACAUGAAACAGCUUGACCAUGAGAUCUCUCUCAUAGAGUCAAACUACCUGAAGAAGAAGAAGACGUUACACAUAUCCAUCUGCGUUGCAUCAUCGCAUUACCCAUUGAUCGGUUGUGAUUCAACUCUUAAUAGGAAGACAGUAGAACUGGUGUUGGUAUCUGUUUUUAGAUCAGCUUAUAUGUAUCUUGUUGCUAAAAAGGGAAUGUUUAGAAGUGAGAUUAAUGGGAUUAUUCUGACAUGGAUUUCAUAUGGUUACCUGUUUUGCAGUUGACUGUGAUUGAAGGUCAAUUAAUCAUCACUGGGCACUCCCUGGGAGGAGCCGUUGCUUCUCUCUUCACCUUAUGCCUGCUAGAUGAAAAUUUAUUAAAACCCAAAUGCCGCCCCUUUUGUAUCACCUUUGGUUCACCCCUCGUCGGCGGCUUUGGCCUCCAACACUCCAUAUGGAAUUCUUUCUUCCUGCAUGUAGUGUCUAACCAAGACCCAGUCCCCGGUCUCUUCCUCCCAUCUGGCAGAGGCAGAUCUACGCCCACAUCCUCCCAUUCACAAACUACCGGUUACAAGCCCUUUGGGACAUAUCUCUUGUGCUCUGAACUUGGUUGUGCUUGUUUUGACAACCCUGAUUUAAUUUUGGAAUUGCUGAAAGUCAUAUCAUCAGAGGUUGCCGGAGGAUUGCAGGAUGUUGAUUAUGGGGAGAUUUUAAGAAACCUCAAGGAGAGGGCAAUCUGCAAGGGACUUCCGCAGGUGGGUGAAAGGUUUGCAAAUCCAUUUUCAGCUGGGAUCAUCAUGGAACUUGAGACAAUUGGAUUUAAUCAAACAAAGGUAAACAGCUUUCUCCCAUCUAAUGAUGUUAUGGAACAUGGUUUACACCUCAUUAAAUACUGCAACAACUGCCCUAUUUAGAUUUACCUUCUUGUUCUUUGGGAUUUUCCAUAACUAGACUCAUUUUUUAAUUUCAUGGCAGCUGCUGCAGCAUAACAUUGAUAUCGAGACUGUGAUAAGCGCAAUGGAAGCGGAAGCAAGAAACCUAACCCAGAAAAAUAAAGCUUCCGAUGCCAAGAAACUGAAUGAAAUAAAAAUAGACAUGACCCGGCUAGAAUUGUAUAAGAAGAAUUCGAACAUGGGUUACUACGAUUGCUUCAAAAACCAGGGGUCUAAAAGGGACAUCCACGUUGAACAGUUUAGGGUAAACCUCACAGGGUACUGGGAAGGCAUGGUUGCACAAAUACAGAGGAAGCCUCAUAAGGAAGGAGCAACAUUUCGAACCCGUUGGCUCUAUGCAGGGACGGUUUAUAGAAGAAUGGUUGAACCACUGGACAUUGCUGCCUUCUACAGAGAGGGUAGAAAAGACUACAUGAAUAAAAGAUCUGCACAUUACAAGCUGUUGCAGGAAUGGUAUGAGGAAGAUGUGAAACCCCCCUCUAGAGAUAAGCUUGAUUCCAAGAAGCAAAAGGUGUCCAGUAUCCUAACUGAGGAUUCUUGCUUUUGGGCACAUGUGGAGGAGGCUAUCUUGUCAUGCGAAUUGCUCAAGAGUGAAAACUGUAAUCUUGAGGAGGGAAAAUCAUCAUGGGAUAAUCUGGUUAAGUUCGAGGAGUAUGUAAUGGAACAGAUUGACAACUAUGCAGUGUCCCCUGAGAUUUUCUUGGAGAAAAGCAGCUUCAUGAAAUGGAGGGGACUGUAUGAGGGCUACAUAGAUACUCGCAGUAAUUCCCAUAGCUCGCCAUUGAUCAGCUUUAUGAAGAAUCGUAGUUAUAGACAAUAUGGAUAGAGGGGUAAUCCAGUUUGUGUGUUGUGUGUAUUGUUUUGUGAGCAUUCAAUGGAUAGAACUAGAAAGAGUGUGACCUUUUCCUUUUUUUUUUCAGUUGCUGCCCAUAUUCUCAGCACUAUUUUCUUCCUUCUUUUCCUCAGUUUUUUUGUUAAGAAAUGAAUAUUAUGAUGUUGCCGGGAUGCACUUUCAUUUUUGUUCCAUUACAUUGUGUUUUAUUCAUAUCCUAAACAAAUAAAUGUAAACAAGAAAAUCAAAUGAGACUUCAAAGAGUCUGUUCCUUUUAAAGCAAGGGAAAAAAAGGACAUGUUUGUUUACUUCCACAGCUGGGUAGAUUCAACUCCACCAAAAUUGGCAACAACUUCCCAUUGAAAAAUUCCUUUUAAGCUUGAAUGACAUAAAACUAGAUAUGUUCCAGCUAGAAUGGUACAAGAAAGAAAUCAAAAGAUGAGCACAAUGGGUUAUUAUGACAGCUUUAGAAACCUGGGGUGUAAAAGAGACAUUAAAAUGGAACCGAGGGGAAGACAUUGUAGAACAAGUAAAGAGGAAGCCUCACCAGGAAGGGCAGCUUUGCAAACCCUCUGGCUCUGUACAGGAACGAAUUAUAGAAAGAUGGUUGAACCACUUGACAUUGCUGCCUACCACAGAGAGGGUGGAAGAAACUACAUAACCAAUGGAGGAUGUAAACAUUACACGCUAUUAGAGCAAUGAUGCAAUGAAGAGAAGGGGACUUUGUCUUCCAAUAAUUUAAGAAAAUAAAACCAAAUAAUGCCAGAAUUUGGGUUGAGAAACACCCAAAAGAUAGUGGCCCAAUAUGAAGUAGUCACAAAACUAGUAACAGCCUUGUGGCCAUAGUUGGUGUAGUAUGAGCAAGUGGGGUAUGAAGUAGGUAGGUGAGUAUUGCAAUGAAAUUUCCAGCACUGCUUCCUGAAUUAAGAAAUCACAUACUCAAGUCUUAAUCGUUGUCAUCAUACCGUGUGAGAACCGAGGAAGAAUCUUUGCUCUUAGACUGGAUUUUGUAGUCUUUCUUUAACAAUUACAAGUUAUCUGAAUUCCCUUCAUCCUCCUAUAUAAUAUUGUUUUUGGUCUUGUUCUUGUUGCAUUGUGGCUAGGCAUCUCCAUGGGAGGAAGGAGGAUGAAUCAAGUUCCUUUGUAUGAAUCAAUUUCUCUGCUCUUUUUUUUUUCAAUCCUUGAAUCGAAUCAUUGCUUAGUUCUUGCUUUAAUUUCUCCAUUUUCUGUUGGGUCUUUGAUUGCAGGUUUAGCUCUGCAAGAAAACUGGGAAAUUUAAUUGUGACCUCCAAUCUAAUCGACUCUGCUUUGACUAAAAUUCUUGAGCUUCAAAGAGACCAAACAGCCUUGCCUUCCCCCGUUCAAUACAGAGUUUUUUAUCCAUCUCCCAACUGCACAAUUGUAGCUUUUGUCUCUUCACCUGACUGCACUCAAAACCCUCUUCCUGGACAAGGAGAUUUAGUUCCCUCUCCUCUCUUUGACUUCCUCUGCACCGAAGAAUACAAGUCCGUCUCCAUUAACAGAGCUGCAUUAACCCUCUUUACCUCUCUCCACGAUCAUCUCUCUGGACUAAAAACUCAGGUCAAAAUAUGAUAGUUGUUUUUAUUUUCGUUUCCUUUUUGUUAACAAUUGGGAGACAUGAAACAGCUUGACCAUGAGAUCUCUCUCAUAGAGUCAAACUACCUGAAGAAGAAGAAGACGUUACACAUAUCCAUCUGCGCUGCAUCAUCGCAUUACCCAUUGAUCGGUUGUGAUUCAACUCUUAAUAGGAAGACAGUAGAACUGGUGUUGGUAUCUGUUUUUAGAUCAGCUUAUAUGUAUCUUGUUGCUAAAAAGGGAAUGUUUAGAAGUGAGAUUAAUGGGAUUAUUCUGACAUGGAUUUCAUAUGGUUACCUGUUUUGCAGUUGACUGUGAUUGAAGGUCGAUUAAUCAUUACUGGGUACUCGAUGGGAGGAUCCGUUGCUUCUCUCUUCACCUUAUGCCUGUUAGAAGUCAUCAAUUUAUCAAAACCCAAAUGCCGCCCCAUUUGUAUCACCUUUGGUUCACCCCUCAUAGGCGACUUUGGCCUCCAACACUCCAAUUGGAAUUCUUUCUUCUUGCAUGUAGUGUCCAACCAAGAUCUAGUCCCCGGACUCUUCCUCCCAUCCGACAGAUCUCCUCCCACAUCCUCCCAUUCACAAACUACUGGUUACAAGCCCUUUGGGACAUAUCUCUUGUGCUCUGAACUUGGUUGUGCUUGUUUUGACAACUCUGAUUUAAUUUUGGAAUUGCUGAAAGUCAUAUCAUCAGAGGUUGCCAGAGGAUUGCGGGAUGUUGAUUACAGGAAGAUUUUAAGAAACCUCAAGGAGAGGGCAAUCUGCAAGGGACUUCCGCAGGUGGGUGAAAGGUUUGCAAAUCCAUUUUCAGCUGGGAUCAUCAUGGAACUUGAGACGAUUGGAUUUAAUGAAACAAAGGUAAACAGCUUUCUCCCAUCUACUGAUGUUAUGGAACAUGGUUUACACAUCAUUAAAUACUGCAACAACUGCCCUAUUUAGAUUUAGGGCAAUGAUGAAAAUAUCAGUAAUCACGGAUAUAUCAGUAUUUCGAUUUUACGGAUAUAUCGGAUAUAUCGGAGAUAUAUCGGUAGAUAUUUUGAAAAAAAAUAUCGGCAAGCUUAAAAUUGUUAAAAACUCAUGAAAAUAUAAGAAAAUCUCAUAAUAAUAUAAUUAAAAGUAUAAUAGACAUUUUAAAGUUAUUUUAUUGAAAAUUUUGAUAUAUGUAUAACAUGAUUUAUCAUAUUUGAUAAUAAUAUCGUAUGCGUCGAUAAAAAUAUGAAUUUUAUAAGUGUACAUUUAUUAUUAAAUUACACCUAAUAUUAUGAUAUCUGAUUAUAAUAUGUCUAAUUUUAAAAUAUAUAUUAGUAUUAAAAUAUGAUCCAUUUAAUUCAAUUGUAUUAAACAAUAUAAAAUAAAUAAUGAUAUAUAUAUAUAUAUAUAUAAUUUUUUAAUAUUUAAUUAAUUAUUAAUGAUAUUAAAAACAUUAUGAAGAAAAUUAUAUAAUUUUUUAAUUUUUGGUAAUUAAUUAAAAGACUUUGCAUUUAAUUAUAAAUUAAUUAUAAUUAAUUUACUCUUUAAAAUAUUCUUAUAUUUUCUUUAUAUAAUGAAUUUAAGUAUAUAUAUAGUUGUUGCAUAUUAUAUAUUAAAGGACAACUUAGCCCAAGUGGUAAGCGAGUGAACCCCAAUGUGAGGCAUUGUAGCACGUGCACUGUAGCAUCACUGUAGCGACUCUGACUUUCGUUGACCCGCAUUGACUACACGAUAUAUCGGAGAAAAAUCACUGAUUUAUCGCCAAAUCACCAAUAAAUCGCCGAUUUCUCGCGAUAAAUACCAAAAUAUAGUGUCGAAACCCUUCGAUACACGAUUUUUCGGCGCAUUUUCUUACUUGGAUUUACCUUUUUGUUCUUUGGGAUCUUCCAUGACUCAUUUUUUAAUGCCAUUUUAUUUUCCUUUUUGUUUCUAAAUUUUUAAAAAAUCGUUUUCACUUCUUUUUUUUAAGAAAAUUUUGGCAAAUUUUGAAAAUAUAAUAUUAGUGUUUUCACUUCUUUCUUUUUUUUUUUUUUCUUUUUUUUUUUAAACUCAAUUUUCUAAAAAAUGAAAAUAGAAAAACAUUGUCUAAACAUGUUUGUAAACUUAAUUUUAUUUUUUUAUAAAUGAAAAAAAAAAUCUAAAUGAGUAAGGCUUUAUUAAUUUUAAUUUUUUUCUUUUCCUUAUAUUUUCUUAUUUUAUUCCAAAUUUUCUUGCAACCAAACAUAAUCUAAAUGUUUACAACUUUUAUUGUAAGGAAUGAAUGACACUACUUUGUGAACUUUUAUGAUAAUAUUUUGAAUCAUAAAUUGUGUUUUUUUUAGUAAUAUCAAUUUUAUUACCAAUGACUUAAUUGUUAAUAACAAAAUAUAAUAUUUAUAAAUAUUUUUAUUCUCAACAGGCUACAAUUUUUACUCUUGUGAUAAAAAAAAUUUUGUCAUAAAUUACACAUUAUGAUGAGUUUUUCUAUUUUCCUUAUCAGCCAAUUCAACAAAUAUCAUAUAUAUUGUAAUGGCUAACAAAUUUUCACAUAAAUUUUUUAUAAGAUAAAGUAGAAUGGAAUUAUUCAAUUUCAAAAAAAAAAAAAAUGGUACCUAAUGAAAAAGAUAAAAUAUAUAGAUCAUCUCGAAGAAAUCAGGAAAGAUAAAUGAUGAGACCAUAUAUAGGACCCUUGAUGGAGACUAUUUUAAUUGAAGUGGUGUGCUCCUUCCGACUCAGAACAUGUUCAGCAUUGCACACAAACUAACAUCGUCGAUCUUGAGUAUGAAAAAGGUGAUUAGAUUCCAAGGUUGUCGUUUGUCCCAACUCCUCAUAUUAGAGGUGAUGCUCAAGCUAACGUGCCUCGCAGUUGAGCCCCGGCCAAUCGGUCUAAUAUGCUUUUCCAAUGGUGAGUUUCACUGCCACCAUGUAUUACAUUAAUUCCGAUAGCGCACAAGUUGUGUUUGUGCUAUUGCUUUUUGCCCUCACAAACAUAUACACAAGAGACAUUCAGACCAGAUCUGUUCUACCAUCCUCUAGGAAAGCAUUGUAGGUCAUUUGAAAUUGGGAUUUCAGCACCAGAGUCAAAUUGCCUUCCUUCCUGAAAGAUGAGCAUUUUUUAUACUCUUACAUCGGCUUUUAUGGAAAUGAAAUCAGCUUCUCAUUCUGUUACAUUUUUCAAUUUUGCUGCCUAUAACUGCUCACUGCCUGUUUGUGAGACAUUAUCCAGAUUUUCCCUGAUCAAUUAUAGAGAGGUCAUUGGACUCAUCCAUGAUUGGAAUUUCCUGUUAUCAUUAUUUGCAAAUCAUCAACCAUUUGUCAUGAUAUCUUAAGUUAAGCUGAGCACGAAUUUCAGCUAAGAUCCUCAGAACUAGAAAUAUGCACUGCAGGUAUUACUUGAUAUGUGAAUAUCCAAUACAAUAUUUUUUUACUAAGAGGAAUACGAAUUUGAAACACUUUCCAAUAAUUUAUCAAGUCAUAUUUUCGUGCUGUCGUGAUACAUGUGUCUACUGUAUGCAUGGCUUUUCUUUUCUACACAUGCCUUUAUCUUUGCACAUGACUCUUUUGAUACACGCCAGCAUCAAGGCAAUUGCCUAAAUCUAAAUCACAUCCUUUGUGUCACGUCUUCCUUGUUACCACGGUCCUCUUGUACACCAUGGUCCCUUAAUGUAACUUGUGCCACAAGCCCUUUGUGCAUGAAUUCAAAUUGUUCAAUCAUUUCGCCAUUUACACCUUUUAAGGUCCAAUAAGCGUAUACAAGAGACUACACUCAUUCUAGAUGAUAAAGUACAUUCAACUAACUACUCUUGCUAAUGAGCAUAUCCAAGUCAAUACAUAAGAUUAAUUAUUACAUAUGGUAAUUGAAACCCUGUUUAAAUAAAUAGUGACACAAAUAUAAAAAAUAUAUAUAUUUAAAAAUAAAUAAAUAACAAUUUAGAGAAUUUCAUAACUUAGUAUCAAACCUAUUGUAGGAAAGAGUAUUAUACAAUGUAGGGUUUAGGAUCAAAGUUAACCUAAGAUCAAUUUUAAGUUUUAAGACCAAUUCAAAUUCAAAACUAAGGUUUUAAGUUUCAAAAAUAUAUCUCUUAAACCAAUUAAAUAGAAAAAAGAAAAUUACAAAGAAAAUUUCUUCCUCAUCGGUUUCUUUUAUCUUGAAAACUAAAGGAAAUAUAUAUCAAUAUUUGAGAUGGAAAUUCAUAAUCUUAGAAACACAAAGAACAAAGAGAGUAUGAAGAGACCAUACCAUGAGAGAUUUUCCAAAAGGUUGGUAAACCAUGGUAAUCACCUUUGAGUUUUGCUGAGAAAAACAAACCUUAAUUUUUAUUUUUAUUUUUUUAUCAUUUUUUCUCUUGUGGUGUACAUUUAAGAAAAACAAAUCUUAAAAAAAAAAAAAAAAAAACCAAAUAAUGCCAGAAUUUGGGUUGAGAAACACCCAAAAGAUAGUGGCCCAAUACAUGUGCCUAAGAAAAUCUUCAUGAGCCGAUAAACAUAGUCACAAAACUAGUAACAGCCUUGUAGCCAUAGUUGGUGUAGUAUGAGCAAGUGGGGUAUGAAGUAGGUAGGUGAGUAUUGCAAUGAAAUUUCCAGCACUGCUUCCUGAAUUAAGAAAUCACAUACCCAAGUCUUAGUCGUCGUCGUCGUACCGUGUGAGAACCGGGAAGAAUCUUUGCUCGUAGAGUGGCUUUUGUAGUCUUUCUUUAACAAUUACAAGUUAUCUGAAUUCCCUUCAUCCUCCUAUAUAAUAUUGUUUUUGGUCUUGUUCUUGUUGCAUUGUGGCUAGGCAUCUCCAUGGAAGGAAGGAGGAUGAAUCAAGUUCCUUUGUAUGAAUCAAUUUCUCUGCUCUUUUUCUUUUCAAUCCGUGAAUCGAAUCAUUGCUUAGUUCUUGCUUUAAUUUCUCCAUUUUCUGUUGGGUCUUUGACUGCAGGUUUAGCUCUGCAAGAGAACUGGGAAAUUUAAUGGUGACCUCCAAUCUAAUCGACUCUGCUUUGACUAAAAUUCUUGAGCUUCAAAGAGACCAAACAGCCUUGCUUUCCUCCGUUCAAUACAGAGUUUUUUAUCCAUCUCCCAAGUGCACAAUUGUAGCUUUUGUCUCUUCACCUGACUGCACUCAAAACCCUCUUCCUGGACAAGGAGAUUUAGUUCCGUCUCCUCUCUUUGACUUCCUCUGCACCGAAGAAUACAAGUCCGUCUCCAUUAACAGAGCUGCAUUAACCCUCUUUACCUCUUUCCACGAUCAUCUCUCUGGACUAAAAACUCAGGUCAAAAUAUGAUAGUUGUUUUUAUUUUCGUUUCCUUUUUGUUAACAAUUGUGAGACAUGAAACAGCUUGACCAUGAGAUCUCUCUCAUAGAGUCAAACUACCUGAAGAAGAAGAAGACGUUACACAUAUCCAUCUGCGUUGCAUCAUCGCAUUACCCAUUGAUCGGUUGUGAUUCAACUCUUAAUAGGAAGACAGUAGAACUGGUGUUGGUAUCUGUUUUUAGAUCAGCUUAUAUGUAUCUUGUUUCUAAAAAAGGUAAGUUUAGAAGUGAGAUUAAUGGGAUUAUUCUGACAUGGAUUCCAUAUGGUUACCUGUUUUGCAGUUGACUCAGAUUGAAGGUCAAUUAAUCAUCACUGGGCACUCCCUGGGAGGAUCCGUUGCUUCUCUCUUCACCUUAUGCCUGCUAGAUGGAAAUUUAUUAAAACCCAACUGCCGCCCCUUUUGUAUCACCUUUGGUUCACCCCUCAUCGGCGGCUUUGGCCUCCAACACUCCAUAUGGAAUUCUUUCUUCCUGCAUGUAGUGUCUAACCAAGACCCAGUCCCCGGUCUCUUCCUCCCAUCUGGCAGAGGCAGAUCUACGCCCACAUCCUCCCAUUCACAAACUACCGGUUACAAGCCCUUUGGGACAUAUCUCUUGUGCUCUGAACUUGGUUGUGCUUGUUUGGAAAAGCCUGAUUUAAUUUUGGGAUUGCUGAAAGUCAGAUCAUCCGAGGUUGCCGGAGGAUUGCAGGAUGUUGAUUAUGGGGAGAUUUUAAGAAACCUCAAGGAGAGGGCAAUCUGCAAGGGACUUCAGCAGGUGGGUGAAAGGUUUGCAGAUCCUUUUACAGCUGGGAUCAUCAUGGACCUUGAGAUAAUUGGAUUUGAUCAAACAAAGGUAAACAGCUAGCUUUCUCCCAUCUAAUGAUGUUAUGAAACAUGGUUUACACUUCACCAAAUACUGCAACAACUGCCCUAUUUAGAUUUGCCGUCUUGUUCUUUGGGAUCUUCCAUAACUAGACUCAUUUUUUAAUUUCAUGGCAGCUGCUGCAGCAUAACAUUGAUAUCGAGACUGUGAUAAGCACAAUGGAAGAGGAAGCCAGAAACCCAACCAAAAAAAAUAAAGCUUUCGAUGCCAAGAUUCUGAAUCACAAAAAAAAAGACAUGGCCGGGCUAGAAUGGUAUAAGAAGAAAUCAAAAGAUCUGAACAAGGGUUACUACGACUGCUUCAAAAACCAGGGGUCAAAAAGGGACAUUAAAAUUGAACAGUAUGGGGGACACCUCACAUUAUACUGGAAAGACAUGGUUGCACAAGUACAGAGGAAGCCCCAGAAGGAAGGAGCAACAUUUCGAACCCGUUGGCUCUAUGCAGGGACGGUUUAUAGAAGAAUGGUUGAACCACUGGACAUUGCUGCCUUCUACGUAGAGGGUGGAACAGACUACAUGAAGAAUGAAAGAUCUCUUCAUUACAAGCUGUUGCAGCAAUGGUAUGAGGAAGAUGUGAAACCCCCCUCUAAGGAUAAGCUUGAUUCCAAGAAGCAAAAGGUGUCUGGUAUCCUAACUGAGGAUUCUUGCUUUUGGGCACAUGUGGAGGAGGCUAUCUUGUCAUGCGAAUUGCUUAAGAGUGAAAACUGUACUCUUGAGCAGGAAAAAUCAUCAUGGGAUAAUCUGGUUAAGUUCGAGGAGUAUGUAAUGGAACAGAUUAACAACUAUGCAGUGUCCCCUGAGAUUUUCUUGGGGGAAAGCAGCUUCAUGAAAUGGUGGGGACUGUAUGAGGGCUACAUAUAUGCUCGCAGUAAUUCCCAUAGGUCACCAUUGAUCAGCUUUAUGAAGAACGGUAGUUAUACAGAGUAUCGUUAGAGGGGUAAUCCAGUUUGUGUGUUGUGUGUAUUGUUUUGUGAGCAUUCAAUGGAUAGAACUAGAAAGAGUGUGACCUUUUUCCUUUUUUUCUUCUAGUUGCUGCCCAUAUUCUCAGCACUAUUUUCUUCCUUCUUUUCCUCAGUUUUUUCUUAAGAAAUGAAUAUUAUGAUGUUGCUGGGAUGCACUUUCAUUUUUGUUCCAUUACAUUGUGUUUUAUUCAUAUCCUAAACAAAUAAAUGUAAACAAGAAAAUCAAAUAAGACUUCAAAGAGUCUGUUCCUUUUAAAGCAAGGGAAAAAAAGGACAUGUUUGUUUACUUCCACAGCUGGGUAGAUUCAACUCCACCAAAAUUGGCAACAACUUCCCAUUGAAAAAUUCCUUCUAAGCUUGAAUGACAUAAAACUAGAUAUGUUCCAGCUAGAAUGGUACAAAAAAGAAAUCAAAAGAUGAGCACAAUGGGUUAUUAUGACAGCUUUAGAAACCAUCUUACAACACAUCCAUCAGAAUUUAGACUAUUCAUAGAAACAUUCUUAACAUGUAAAUCUACUAUUGCCAUGCACGUCAACAUAGAAUUUCUAAAAUGAUUGAAUAAAAUAAAUAAAACAAAAGAAACCCUUCCAAGAGAAUUUCAUAAUCUAAUGUCAAAUCUAUUACGAAGAUGAACAUGUAAAAUUUAAGGUUUAUAAUCAAAGUCGACUUGAAUCUGAGUUUUAAAACCAAUUUGCAGUUUUUAAGUUUGGAGACUAGAUCUCUUAAACCAAUUAAAUGUAAAAAACUAAAAAGAAAACUUCUUCAAAUUUUGAAAUGAGAAUGAGAAUGCAAUUCCUAACUAGUUUCUUCAUCAAAAAUCCCGAAAAAAAAAAAAAAAGAAGAGAGAGAGAGACCAUAGACGCCAGUGUUUGGGUUUAGAACCACCCAAGAGAGAGUAGUCCAAUAUAUGGGCUUAAGAAAAUCCUCAUGGGCCUAAGCUAAGACUAGGAACAAUCUUGUAUCCGUGGUUGGUUUAGUAUGAGCAUGUGUACUGCGAAGGAAGUAGCUGAGAAUUGCAAUGGAAUUUCCAGUACUGCUUCCUGAACGAACAAAUCGCAUACCCAAGAUUUGGUCGUCAACGCCAUGCUGGGUGAGAACCGGGGAAGCAUCUUCGCUCGUUGACGAGCUUUUGUAGUCCUUCUUUAACAAUUAUAAGGCAUCUGAAUUCCCUUCAUCCUCCCACACCAUUGUUUUUGGUCUUGUUCUUGUUGCUUUGUGACUACGCAUCUCCAUGGAAGGAAGGAGGAUGAACCAAGUUCCUUUGUAUGCAUCAAUUUUACUGUUUUUUUUUUCCUUUUUAAUCUUUGGAUCGAAUCAUUGCUUAGUUCUUGCUUAAUUUCUCCAUUUUAUGUUGGGUCUUUGAUUGCAGGUUUAGCUCUGCGCGAGAACUGGGAAAUUUAAUUGUGACCUCCAAUCUAAUCGACUCUGCUUUGACUAAAAUUCUUGAGCUUCAAAGAGACCAAACAGCCUUGCCUUCCCCCGUUCAAUACAGAGUUUUUUAUCCAUCUCCCAAGUGCACAAUUGUAGCUUUUGUCUCUUCACCUGACUGCACUCAAAACCCUCUUCCUGGACAAGGAGAUUUAGUUCCCUCUCCUCUCUUUGACUUCCUCUGCACCGAAGAAUACCCUUCCGUCUCCAUUAACGGAGCCGCAUUAACCCUCUUUACCUCUCUCUACGAUCAUCUCUCUGGACUAAUAGAUGAGGUCAAAAUCUGAUACUUGUUUUAAUUUACGUUAACUUUUCGUUAACAAUUGUGAGACACGUAUAUAUAUAUAUAUAUAUAUAUAUCUUGUGGAUAAAAGGAAAGUUUACAAGUGAGAAUAGUGGCAUUUUUCUGACAGAUUUCACACCGUUGCUUGUUUUGCACUUGACUGUGAUUGAAGGUCGAUUAAUCAUCACUGGGCACUCGAUGGGAGGAUCCGUUGCUUCUCUCUUCACCUUAUGCCUGCUAGAAGUCAUUAAUAUAUCAAAACCCAAAUGCCGCCCCAUUUGCAUCACAUUUGGUUCACCCCUCAUAGGCGACUUUGGCUUCCAACACUCCAAUUGGAAUUCUUUCUUCUUGCAUGUAGUGUCCAACCAAGAUCUAGUCCCCGGACUCUUCCUCCCAUCCGGCAGAUCUCCUCCCACAUCCUCCCAUUCACAAACUACUGGUUACAAGCCCUUUGGGACAUAUCUCUUGUGCUCUGAACUUGGUUGUGCUUGUUUUGACAACCCUGAUUUAAUUUUGGAAUUGCUGAAAGUCAUAUCAUCAGAGGUUGCCGGAGGAUUGCGGGAUGUUGAUUACAGGAAGAUUUUAAUAAACCUCAAGGAGAGGGCAAUCUUCAAGGGACUUCAGCAGGUGGGUGAAAGGUUUGCAGAUCCCUUGUCAGCUGGGAUCAUCAUGGACCUUGAGAUAAUUGGAUUUGAUCAAACAAAGGUAAACAGCUUUCUCCCAAUUAAUGAUGUAGCAUGGUUUACACUCAACUUCACCAAAACCUGCAACAACUGCCCUAUUUAGAUUUGCCUUCCGGUUCUUUGGGUUCUUCUAUAACUUCUCAUUUUUUAAAUCCAUGGCAGCUGUUGCGGCACAACAUUGAUAUCAACACUGUGAUAAGGAUACUGGGAGCGGAAGCCAGAAUCCUAGCCCACAAAAAUAAAGCUUCUGAUGCCAAGAAACUGAAUGACAUAAAAAUACACAUGGCCCAGCUAGAAUGGUAUAAGAAGAAAUCAAAAGAUCUGAACAAGGGUUACUACGACUGCUUCAAAAACCAGGGGUUAAAAAGGGACAUUAAAAUUGAACAGUAUAGGGGACACCUCACAAUAUACUGGAAAGACAUGGUUGCACAAGUACAGAGGAAGCCCCAGAAGGAAGGAGCAUCAUUUCGAACCAGUUGGCUCUAUCCAGGGACAACUUAUAGAAGAAUGGUUGAACCACUGGACAUUGCUGCCUUCUACAGAGAGGGUAGAACAGACUACAUAAACAAUGGAAGAUCUCCUCAUUACAAGCUGUUGCAGCAAUGGUAUGAGGAAGAUGUGAAGCCCCCAUCCAGAGAUAAGCUCGAUUCCAAGAAACUAAAGGUGUCUGGUAUCCUAACUGAGGAUUCUUUGUUUUGGGCACAUGUGGAGGAGGCUCUCUUGUCAUGCGAAUCGCUCAAGAGUGCAAACUCUACUCUUGAGCAGAGAAAAUCAUCAUGGGAUAAUCUGGUUAAGUUUGGGGAGUAUGUAAUGGAACAGAUUGGAAACUAUGCAGUGUCCCCUGAGAUUUUCUUGGGGGAAAGCAGCUUCAUGAAAUGGUGGGGAGUGUAUGAGGACUACAUAGAUGCUUCCAAUAAUUUCUAUGGGUCACCAUUGAUCAACUUUAUGAAGGACCGUAGUUAUAGACUGUAUGGUUAGAGGGCAAUCCAGUUUGUGUAUUGUGUUUAUUGUAUUGUGAGCAUUCAAUAGAUAAAACUAGAAAGAGCGUGACCUUUUUAUGACAACUUUAGAAACCAGGGGUUAAAAGAGACAUUACAAAUUGAAUUUUUUGAGAGGAAACCUCAAGAGUAUACUGGGAAGCCAUGGUGGAACAAGUAGAGAGGAAGCUUCGGAAGGAAGGAUCAAUGGUUGAACCACUUGACAUUGUUGCCUACUUCAGGGAGGGUGUAAGAAACAACAUAACCGAGGGAAGAUCUGAACAUUAAACAUUGUACAAUUAUUGUAAAUGUCUUAUACAUUACGUGUGAAAAUACCAAAAAAAAUUAUAUUCAACAUUUAUGUUUGUAUACAAGCAAUAUUUUGGAUAGUUUGAUAUAAAAAACAAAUGAAGAAAACGAAGAAAAACAUACAAAUAUAUUUACAAUGGACAAACUUAUACAAUUAGUGUAAAUGUCUUGUAUAUUUAGUACAAAAGUCUCGUACUUUGUAAAAAUAUAAAAAUAUAGUAUUUGACUUUUAUAUAUGUGUGAAAAUGUAAAAGGAAAAAGAAAAAUAGUUAGAGCAUUUGGUACCGUGAGUGAUGACUUCACCUAAAGAAAGGUUAAUGAAUAUUAUGGUCUCGAUGGAAGAGCGACUCCGGUAAAAUAUAUGGAUUAAAUUGAUGCUUUUCUUUUGACGAUGAAGUAGUUGAGUUAUGAAUACGAGGUUUUGCUAACAACAUUGAAGGCAAGGAUUCCCUAAUAUACUCCAAUUCAUAUUCAAUUUGUAGACCUUCAACUAACUACUCUUGCUAAUGAGCAUAUCCAAGUGAAUACAUAAGAUUAAUUAUUACAUAUGAUAAUUGAAACCCUGUUUAAAUAAAUAGUGACACAAAUAUAAAAAAUAUAUAUAUUUAAAAAUAAAUAAAUAAUAAUUUAGAGAAUUUCAUAACUUAGCAUCAAACCUAUUGUAGGAAAGAGUAUUAUACAAUGUAGGGUUUAGGAUCAAAGUUAACCUAAGAUCAAAUUUAAGUCUUAAGACCAAUUCACAUUCAAAACUAAGGUUUUAAAUUUCAAAAAUAUAUCUCUUAAACCAAUUAAAUGGAAAAAAGAAAAUUACAAAGAAAAUUUCUUCCUCAUCGGUUUCUUUUAUCUUGAAAACUAAAGGAAAUAUAUAUCAAUAUUUGAGAUGGAAAUUCAUAAUCUUAGAAACACAAAGAACAAAGAGAGUAUGAAGAGACCAUACCAUGAGAGAUUUUCCAAAAGGUUGGUAAACCAUGGUAAUCACCUUUGAGUUUUGCUGAGAAAAACAAACCUUAAUUUUUAUUUUUAUUUUUUUAUCAUUUUUUCUCUUGUGGUGUACAUUUAAGAAAAACAAAUCUUAAAAAAAAAAAAAAAAAAACCAAAUAAUGCCAGAAUUUGGGUUGAGAAACACCCAAAAGAUAGUGGCCCAAUACAUGUGCCUAAGAAAAUCUUCAUGAGCCGAUAAACAUAGUCACAAAACUAGGAACAGCCUUGUAGCCAUAGUUGGUGUAGUAUGAGCAAGUGGGGUAUGAAGUAGGUAGGUGAGUAUUGCAAUGAAAUUUCCAGCACUGCUUCCUGAAUUAAGAAAUCACAUACUCAAGUCUUAAUCGUUGUCAUCAUACCGUGUGAGAACCGAGGAAGAAUCUUUGCUCUUAGACUGGAUUUUGUAGUCUUUCUUUAACAAUUACAAGUUAUCUGAAUUCCCUUCAUCCUCCUAUAUAAUAUUGUUUUUGGUCUUGUUCUUGUUGCAUUGUGGCUAGGCAUCUCCAUGGGAGGAAGGAGGAUGAAUCAAGUUCCUUUGUAUGAAUCAAUUUCUCUGCUCUUUUUUUUUUCAAUCCUUGAAUCGAAUCAUUGCUUAGUUCUUGCUUUAAUUUCUCCAUUUUCUGUUGGGUCUUUGAUUGCAGGUUUAGCUCUGCAAGAAAACUGGGAAAUUUAAUUGUGACCUCCAAUCUAAUCGACUCUGCUUUGACUAAAAUUCUUGAGCUUCAAAGAGACCAAACAGCCUUGCCUUCCCCCGUUCAAUACAGAGUUUUUUAUCCAUCUCCCAAGUGCACAAUUGUAGCUUUUGUCUCUUCACCUGACUGCACUCAAAACCCUCUUCCUGGACAAGGAGAUUUAGUUCCCUCUCCUCUCUUUGACUUCCUCUGCACCGAAGAAUACAAGUCCGUCUCCAUUAACAGAGCUGCAUUAACCCUCUUUACCUCUCUCCACGAUCAUCUCUCUGGACUAAAAACUCAGGUCAAAAUAUGAUAGUUGUUUUUAUUUUCGUUUCCUUUUUGUUAACAAUUGUGAGACAUGAAACAGCUUGACCAUGAGAUCUCUCUCAUAGAGUCAAACUACCUGAAGAAGAAGAAGACGUUACACAUAUCCAUCUGCGCUGCAUCAUCGCAUUACCCAUUGAUCGGUUGUGAUUCAACUCUUAAUAGGAAGACAGUAGAACUGGUGUUGGUAUCUGUUUUUAGAUCAGCUUAUAUGUAUCUUGUUGCUAAAAAGGGAAAGUUUAGAAGUGAGAUUAAUGGGAUUAUUCUGACAUGGAUUUCAUAUGGUUACCUGUUUUGCAGUUGACUGUGAUUGAAGGUCGAUUAAUCAUCACUGGGUACUCGAUGGGAGGAUCCGUUGCUUCUCUCUUCACCUUAUGCCUGUUAGAAGUCAUCAAUUUAUCAAAACCCAAAUGCCGCCCCAUUUGUAUCACCUUUGGUUCACCCCUCAUAGGCGACUUUGGCCUCCAACACUCCAAUUGGAAUUCUUUCUUCUUGCAUGUAGUGUCCAACCAAGAUCUAGUCCCCGGACUCUUCCUCCCAUCCGACAGAUCUCCUCCCACAUCCUCCCAUUCACAAACUACUGGUUACAAGCCCUUUGGGACAUAUCUCUUGUGCUCUGAACUUGGUUGUGCUUGUUUUGACAACUCUGAUUUAAUUUUGGAAUUGCUGAAAGUCAUAUCAUCAGAGGUUGCCAGAGGAUUGCGGGAUGUUGAUUACAGGAAGAUUUUAAGAAACCUCAAGGAGAGGGCAAUCUGCAAGGGACUUCCGCAGGUGGGUGAAAGGUUUGCAAAUCCAUUUGCAGCUGGGAUCAUCAUGGAACUUGAGACAAAUAUUGGAUUUAAUGAAACAAAGGUAAACAGCUUUCUCCCAUCUAAUGAUGUUAUGGAACAUGGUUUACACCUCAUUAAAUACUGCAACAACUGCCCUAUUUAGAUUUACCUUCUUGUUCUUUGGGAUCUUCCAUAACUAGACUCAUUUUUUAAUGCCAUUUUAUUUUCCUUUUUGUUUCUAAAUUUUUUAAAAAUCGUUUUCACUUCUUUUUUUUAAGAAAAUUUUGGCAAAUUUUGAAAAUAUAAUAUUAGUGUUUUCACUUCUUUCUUUCUUUCUUUUUUUCUUUUUUUUUUUAAACUCAAUUUUCUAAAAAAUGAAAAUAGAAAAACAUUGUCUAAACAUGUUUGUAAACUUAAUUUUAUUUUUUUAUAAAUGAAAAAAAAAAUCUAAAUGAGUAAGGCUUUAUUAAUUUUAAUUUUUUUCUUUUCCUUAUAUUUUCUUAUUUUAUUCCAAAUUUUCUUGCAACCAAACAUAAUCUAAAUGUUUACAACUUUUAUUGUAAGGAAUGAAUGACACUACUUUGUGAACUUUUAUGAUAAUAUUUUGAAUCAUAAAUUGUGUUUUUUUUAGUAAUAUCAAUUUUAUUACCAAUGACUUAAUUGUUAAUAACAAAAUAUAAUAUUUAUAAAUAUUUUUAUUCUCAACAGGCUACAAUUUUUACUCUUGUGAUAAAAAAAAUUUUGUCAUAAAUUACACAUUAUGAUGAGUUUUUCUAUUUUCCUUAUCAGCCAAUUCAACAAAUAUCAUAUAUAUAUUGUAGUGGCUAACAAAUUUUCACAUAAAUUUUUUAUAAGAUAAAGUAGAAUGGAAUUAUUCAAUUUCAAAAAAAAAAAUGGUACCUAAUGAAAAAGAUAAAAUAUAUAGAUCAUCUCGAAGAAAUCAGGAAAGAUAAAUGAUGAGACCAUAUAUAGGACCCUUGAUGGAGACUAUUUUAAUUGAAGUGGUGUGCUCCUUCCGACUCAGAACAUGUUCAGCAUUGCACACAAACUAACAUCGUCGAUCUUGAGUAUGAAAAAGGUGAUUAGAUUCCAAGGACUUGCUACUCAACAAUGACCAAAGAAGUUCAUUUGUGGUUUGUCCCAACUCCUCAUAUUAGAGGUGAUGCUCAAGCUAACGUGCCUCGCAGUUGAGCCCCGGCCAAUCGCUCUAAUAUGCUUUUCCAAUGGUGAGUUUCACUGCCACCAUGUAUUACAUUAAUUCCGAUAGCGCACAAGUUGUGUUUGUGCUAUUGCUUUUUGCCCUCACAAACAUAUACACAAGAGACAUUCAGACCAGAUCUGUUCUACCAUCCUCUAGGAAAGCAUUGUAGGUCAUUUGAAAUUGGGAUUUCAGCACCAGAGUCAAAUUGCCUUCCUUCCUGAAAGAUGAGCAUUUUUUAUACUCUUACAUCGGCUUUUAUGGAAAUGAAAUCAGCUUCUCAUUCUGUUACAUUUUUCAAUUUUACUGCCUAUAACUGCUCACUGCCUGUUUGUGAGAGGUAUGGACCCAUGGGACAUUAUCCAGAUUUUCCCUGAUCAAUUAUAGAAAGGUCAUUGGACUCAUCCAUGAUUGGAAUUUCCUGUUAUCAUUAUUUGCAAAUCAUCAACCAUUUGUCAUGAUAUCUUAAGUUAAGCUGAGCACGAAUUUCAGCUAAGAUCCUCAGAACUAGAAAUAUGCACUGCAGGUAUUACUUGAUAUGUGAAUAUCCAAUACAAUAUUUUUUUACUAAGAGGAAUACGAAUUUGAAACACUUUCCAAUAAUUUAUCAAGUCAUAUUUUCGUGCUGUCGUGAUACAUGUGUCUACUGUAUGCAUGGCUUUUCUUUUCUACACAUGCCUUUAUCUUUGCACAUGACUCUUUUGAUACACGCCAGCAUCAAGGCAAUUGCCUAAAUCUAAAUCACAUCCUUUGUGUCACGUCUUCCUUGUUACCACGGUCCUCUUGUACACCAUGGUCCCUUAAUGUAACUUGUGCCACAAGCCCUUUGUGCAUGAAUUCAAAUUGUUCAAUCAUUUCGCCAUUUACACCUUUUAAGGUCCAAUAAGCGUAUACAAGAGACUACACUCAUUCUAGAUGAUGAAGUACAUUCAACUAACUACUCUUGCUAAUGAGCAUAUCCAAGUCAAUACAUAAGAUUAAUUAUUACAUAUGGUAAUUGAAACCCUGUUUAAAUAAAUAGUGACAAAAAUAUAAAAAAUAUAUAUAUUUAAAAAUAAAUAAAUAACAAUUUAGAGAAUUUCAUAACUUAGCAUCAAACCUAUUGUAGGAAAGAGUAUUAUACAAUGUAGGGUUUAGGAUCAAAGUUAACCUAAGAUCAAAUUUAAGUUUUAAGACCAAUUCAAAUUCAAAACUAAGGUUUUAAGUUUCAAAAAUAUAUCUCUUAUCUUUUUGCAUAUCAAUUCAAAUUCAAAUUGAACCACUUGACAAUGCUGCCUACCACAUUGAGGGUGGAAGAAACUACAUAACCAAUGGAGGAUCUAAACAUUACAUGCUAUUGGAGCAAUGAUGCAAUGAAGAGGAGAAGGGGACUUUGUCUUCUCAUGCAAAUUGCUCUCAGAGCUCAGAACCUACUCCUGAAGGGAAAGAAUCAUCAUGGAGUGAUCUGGUUAAGUUUGAGGAUUUAUUUAUAUAAUUGAACUGAUUGGAAGCUAUGCAGUGUCGACCCCCACCCGAGCAGCUUCAUGAAACGGUGGAAAGAGUUGGAAGAAGUCAUAGAUACUUGCUAUAGGAGCUUCAUGAAGUAUGGAGAGGUAUGGCAUAGAUACUUACAGUGUCGGAAUUUCUCAAAUCCCAUUUCAGAUUGUUCUAAAAUAAGGAUUCAGAAUUGAGAGCUGGGGCAAAAGGUUUAUGCUUAACAGACUCGAAAUGAAAAGUAGUGCUUUAAGACCCUAUGGACCUGGCCCUGGCCCUGGCCACUGUUCAUCAGCACGCUUGUCUUAAAUAUCCGGUCACAAUCCAUAGAAAUGAACAGGCGAUUGCCCCACAUGAACAAAGUAGGCAAAGCUUUGCAUAUACCCAUUAGGCCAUUACCCAAAUGCAAAAUCAGCUGUCAAAGAAACGCCAUCAUGUUCGUCCCCACACCCAACAAAAAAGAAAAAAAAGUUUUCUUUCCAGCUGGGAGAGGCAGAGGCUGAGGAAGUGUCAACGUAGAUGUGGACUAUUAACAUGGGACCACCAAGCACAUGCAGGUAUGCGCACCUUCCCUCAUUUCUUUCUUAUAAUAACAAUACCUACAUUUUCCUGAGCUUUGUUUUAAAAAAAAAAUCCAUAAAUUACCCCAUUUUCAAAAUAAUGUCCAAUCUAAUGUGUUGGUGUCACAUAAAUUACCAUGUUAUAAAACCAUAGUUGGUAACUACGAUUUUACAUUUUAAAAAUAAUAAAAACCGUAGUCACCAACCAUGGUUUUAACUUUAAGUUUAAAACCGUAGUUGGUGACUACGACUUUGACUAUUUUUAAAAACAGUCAAAGCUGUAGUCACCAACCGCUUUAACUUUAAUUUUAUAUAUAUAUAUUUAAUUUUAAUUUUUUUAAAUAAAAUAUUAUAUUAUUUUGAUUUUAUAUUGAUUAAAAAUAUGUAAGUGAUGUAAUAAAAAUAUUUAAUUUUAAUUGAUCUCAUUAUUUAAAUAAUAGUAAUAUAUAAAAUUAAAUAAUUGAUGUCUUUAAUUUGAUAUAAAAAUAUAUUUUGAUAAUUUUAUUAAAAUAUUUGGCAAUACACUCAAUAUAAAUAUAAUUAGUUAUAAAUAUAUUAUUUUAUACCCUCAUAAUGAAUAAUAUUAUAUUAUUUUGUAACUUUGUGCAAAAUUAAAGGCAAUUAUGCACUUGUACAAAAUAUAAUAUGACUUCAAGUGGGUAAAUAAUUGAAAAAUUACUUAAAUAAAACAAAACUAUUUUUUUUUUCCCGGCAGGUUGUGUCGCGUGAUUGACGGUGGUGGUGAAUCGGUGAUGGGGUGGAGAGAUAGCGCGUGUAAUUUAUCACUUCACUUUAUCAUUUCUUCUGCUCCGAGUGGGUCCGUAUCCCUAAAAUCAGAGCUGGAAUGCCCACGAAUCUGAACCGUCCCUGCUGGUGGGCCACACACCAUACUGGCAGUGCAACUGCACAGCCUGCACCCCUCCCACCCCUCUCCCGCCGCCGACACUAUUAUCGGAAUCGGAAUCGUCUCGCCGGAGGCGUCCCGGUUUCCCUCAUUGCAUCUUCGAAAAUGACGGCAAAAUUUUUAAUUUUAAAAUUUUUAAAAAAGACCACCACUAAAAAUCAGAUCUAUCGACAUUAAGGCCCAUGCACCCUCCCUCAAUUAUUUGAGUCACGUGGAGUUCCUGCAUCGACCCGUACUCCUGCUAAGAGAGUGGGUGCACACCCCCGUAACGUUUUAAUUACUGUGAUUAUUUAUUUUACGGCAUUGAAAUCAACUUGCCACUGAAAUCGAUCUAAUUUAUUUUUAAAAAAAUAAUUAAAAAUAAUAAAAAUGUUAAUGGUGUAACAUGUAAGAUCCUUAUUUGACGCAAAACUGAGCGAAAACUAGUGGAGUUAGCGGUGAAGGCUUCUGAGUAAGAGCCCACACACUCUCCAUUGCUGCCACUACCACUGGCUUUUUUUUUUAUUUUUGUAUUUAUCUGCUCAGGUCUCUGAGCUUUGAGCUCUGAGAAACAAUGGCAUUGAUCCUCUUUUCUCUACUAUUCUUUCUGGGAUUAGUGAACCCUUCGGAGUCCAGGUUGAGUGUCAACUACUACCAAAAAUCAUGCCCAAGAUUCAGUCAGAUCAUGCAGGAUACCAUCACCAACAAGCAAAUCACCAGCCCCACCACGGCUGCGGCCACUCUCCGCCUCUUCUUCCACGACUGCUUCAUUGAGGGCUGCGAUGCUUCCGUUCUUGUCUCCUCGACCCCCUUCAACGAGGCCGAGCGCGAUGCCGACAUGAACCUCUCCCUCCCCGGCGACGGCUUCGACGUCGUUGUCCGCGCCAAGACCGCCCUCGAGCUCGCUUGCCCCGGUGUGGUCUCCUGUGCCGACAUUCUCGCCGUCGCUACCCGCGAUCUCGUCACCAUGGUGGGAGGUCCCUUCUACAAGGUCCCGCUGGGGAGAAGAGAUGGGCUGGUCUCCCGGGCGAACAGGGUUGAAGGUAACCUUCCAAGACCCACGAUGUCCAUUUCUCAGAUAAUUUCGAUUUUCGCUGUGAGAGGGUUCUCGGUUCAAGAAAUGGUGGCGCUGAGUGGUGCCCACACGAUUGGGUUCUCGCAUUGUAAAGAAUUCAGCAGCGGGAUCUACAAUUACAGCCGCAGUUCCCAGUCCAAUCCGAGCUACAACCCUAGAUUCGCAGAGGGGUUGAGAAAAGCUUGCAGCGAUUACCAGAAGAAUCCUACAUUGUCGGUGUUCAACGAUAUAAUGACUCCCAACAAGUUCGAUAACAUGUAUUUCCAGAAUCUGCCCAAGGGUUUGGGGCUAUUGGCGACGGACCAUACCAUGGCUACCGAUCCGAGGACGAGGCAGUUUACGGAUUUGUAUGCCAAGAAUCAAAGCGCCUUCUUUGAGGCAUUUGGUCGAGCUAUGGAGAAGCUUGGCCUUUAUGGGAUCAAGACCGGGCGAAGAGGAGAGAUUCGACGCAGGUGUGAUGCCUUAAACUAGGUUUUUAAGGUUUUUUUUUUUUUUUUUGCAUUACAAACUCCCACCGUAGUGAUGAUCAAUCAAGGUGAAUUGAUGGUGAGGGGGUGGUUUCAUUUGAAUUCUUUUUUUUUUUGUUGUUGUUGAGAAUAUGAGAUAGUAUUUAUACAUGCUUGUAUCACCAUGAUUUUGUGCUCAAUAUACAUGUUUAUUCAUAUUGGGGUUCUGGGUUUAAACUUUUCUCCUUAGGGUUUUGCCAUUGUUAGCGAUAGUGAUGUUGGUCAGCCUUCUCUGGUCUCAUGGUGUUUGUAUUGAUAGUGGUAAUAACUAAGAGUGGUUCAUCUUUGAUCGUUUGAUUAUAUUAAUCAUUGGGCUGAGUGUUUUCUGUAGUUAAUUGGGCAACUCAAGAAUAUGAUAAUGAACAAAGGAAAGGGAAAGAUGCUUUCCUCUCUGGAAUAUGACUCUAGUUUAUUGAUCAUAAAUUAGUAUGCUGGUGACUUGGAUUUUGUCUCUUUCUUUGUGUAAUCAGUAUUCAGUCUUUACAGCUAGCAUAUAAUUAGGAAGAAAAACUUUCUCCGGAAGUUCUUUACACAUGGGGUUAAUUGCUAUUGUUGGAUCCACCAACCUCCUCUCUUUUAGAAUUGGAAACACCAGAGAAAUAAUUUCAUUUUUGUCUACAUAUGAUGCAACCCAUUUUCAGGAGAGGCUGCAUAUUUUGUUUAUGUCACUAGGCGGCCUAGUCUGAAUCUUAUCUUUACAAUCUUUGCCUGGAAAUGCGCAAAGGUAAUGGCUUUAUUACACCAGGCAUGGCCCUGGAACACUUGCUUCCAUCUGCCCAGCCUAACAUAUCUCCAUGUUGGAAUGGAACAUAUACUUGUUGGCCAAAUGAAUCCAGAUCAUGGGGGUCACUGAGAUAUGUUUGGUGAUGGAUGAGGUUGAGGGUAUUGGGAGACUCGCAUACGCUGUACUCUGGAAUGCUGAAAGAGGGCUCGGUAAACCUUGGAUGGGAUUGGAAAGACUGAAGAUAUUGGUUGAUGCUUGCCCGUCUUGCCUCAAGUUGCAUUCUUUUCUUCUUCACUCUCUCCUUUUUGUGGGCAUUCUGAUGGCCUCCCAGCGCUUGCGAGUUUGCAAACUCUUUGCGACAGUACUGGCAAGCGUACCUCCUCUCUUUCAGCAACUUUGUUGAACUCUUUCCCUGGAGAGUUUUCUCCUUCCAAGGUGAAGGUGUGUUAGAGGAACUCAAACUUUCAUCUCCUUCCUCUGACUCCACUGAACGCUUUCCAUCAUUUGCACAUGGAUUCACGUCAAAGCCAAACAAUCUGAGUUUCUUCCCUUUGAUUAGGGCUUUAGAGUAGAAACCCUCAUCUCCAAAACUAGAAGAAAAAGGAUUGGAAGCAGCAAGGCUAUGCUCCAGCACACCUGUUUCCAUCUCUGGGAGUAUUGCUAUAUCUUGGAGAAACAAUGCGGCUGCCUCCAUUUUUAUAGUGAGUUUGUUCCUAUCCAGUGGAGCACUUCCACUUGAAACAGGGUUAUCACUAGAAUAAUGGCAAAGGCAAUGACGUAUUGGACACAAUUUAAGGAAUAAAGAAGUCAGAUUAAAGAAGCAGCCGUGUGAUCCAGACAUUGAAGGCCAACUUUUACAUACUGUAUAUGAUCCCCUAUGGACCUGAUCACAAAGGAAUCCGAUGAUGGCUGAUAACACGGGUAAUGGAUUAAUGUCUUUUUACGUGCGAUUUGUCAAAUAAAAACACAUAUUCCAUACUUGACAAAGGGGGAAAUGACAUAGCAUUUGACAAAGGUCAAACAAUGUGGGAAUGCAAUCCACUGAAUGUAAGAUCUCGAACUUUGCCACAAAUCUCUCACCAUAUUCGAUUGCAUCAUUCUCCACUCUUAUCUUCAUAGCAACAAAUAAGUAUAGGACACGAGAUAAGUGAAAAACCAGACAUUCUAAUGGAUUGAUACAAUGUUUCUGUGAGGUUAUAAGUUCGAAUUGCAGGUGCACGAAGAGAGACUCAAAUUUCACAUGGAACAUUGUUCCAUGGUUCCAAGUACUGAGGAAGGAAUAUUGGGUAUCACACAAUAGUGUGAAUUGUGUUUGAGCCCCAGCCCCAGUUGCGGUGGGGAGAAUACCUAAGAACCGAAAGAGAACCAACAAAAGGAAAAAAGAAUAUAUUGCGUCCCAUUAACCAUAAACGCUUUCACACAGCAUUGAUAAUGUUGUGUAAUAUUGGUGGGUUAUCUGGCACUGAGUAAAGCUCCUUUGUAACUACAGCUCCACCAGAUUUUUUACAAACGAGCUUUAGAAAACUUUGGAUCUUGAUCCUGUCACUAGAAGGAAAAAGGGCAAAGGAAACAAGACAGAAAUAGGGGCUAGACAAGGGAAUAUUUGGAGUGGGACUGAUGUAAGCAUAUAUACUGAUCAGGGUCUCCUCAUAGAUCUGAGCAUAUCUUCCAACUGAGACAAGGUAGAGCUAUAUUUUACAUCCAAAAGCAUAUACUUACAGUUGAAUUGAGUCCUCAGUUUACAUUAUAAAAUUAGAAAGCCAAGAUUAUGCGGGAUGUCCUCAUUGGAGCCAACUAUUGGAACAAAUUGGCAUGCUAUGGACAACUACUCCACUGCGUUGCCUGCAAAUUAAAUUUUCCAUCGGUGGCCUUCUUCCACAUAUCUGGUGCCACAUAGCUCUUGAGACAACAAGGAUUGCUCUAGACUUUGCCAGAAAUGAGUGCCUCAAGAAAUGCCCAGGAAAGUACAGUGAUAAAUUCUAACAUGCCUUAACUCAGAGGUUCUUCCUUCCUUUCAUCUAUGACUAGGGAGUCUCUUUGAUUUCAACCUUUUUAACACUCAAGCCUACGUUCUCCAUUCCACCUUUGGAAGUCAAUCUAAUAGAUCUCAGCUCUUGGGUGCAUAAAAAAUUGGCCUAAGGCCAAAGUUUUAACAACUUCAAGAAGAGGAAGGCACGACACCCCAAAUCUUUGGAGGUCAGCCACUAGUAUCAUUUAGGACCUUGAUUCACAUCCCCAUUGAAUUUGGCUUUCUGUGUCCUUGUUUAAGUUCUCUUGGUUGUCUGUGCUUCCACAGAAGUUAUUGUCUCCACUGAGCUUUAGCGAUUCUCUCUUUAAACCAUGUGAUGAUAUCAUGAUUCAUAAAGACACCCCUGUCUAAGUUCCAAGAUUUUUAAAUUCUACCUAAUUCAACAGUUAUCUAUUUUGGCUUAACCAAGUUCUAAAACAAUACUUUUUUUUUUGAUAGAACCAAGUUCUAAAACAAUUCUUCAAAGCCACAAAACUUAGGGAAGCUAGAAAUCAAAAUAGUCCAACAUAUACAUCUUGGUUUACUCCCUUUCAGUCAUUCAACUCAAAUCGCAAAUAGAUCCCACAGCUUCAAAAUCUGAUGAUUGACAAUCAAUGAAGUUCAUUGAGAUAUCAUCGCUUAUAUAUCAAACGACCACACAUAUUGAUGGAAACAUUGCAUCUUGGACAAGAUAACUGCACCACCUCCCCUUUUUUCUGCAUCAUAGUUUUUAAGAAGGCUCGAUUUGCAUAAGCCAAGCAAGUAGUAAAUACUUGAUAAAAAUAAGACCAAAAAGAUGCUGAUUAUAUUCAGUUAAUCAAAUAAAACAAAGAAACACCAAAACUACCAUCCCAUGAUCACAAUCAAAAUGAUGCUGAGAAUCAAUAAGAACUCCCAGCAUCAUAUGAUUUCCUUCGGAUAAGAAUCCAAUCAAUAUGACGAAAGGCCCAAACAAAUGGAACAUGCUGAGUUAGGCCUUAUCAACCAACAAAUCCUAACAUGUGACCUCUCCUUGUAGCCAACACCUGAGAUCUUCCAGGCAAAGAAUUGAUCCUUAUCCAACCAGUUUUACGGUAUAAUCAAUCUCCUCCAUUGAAGUAAAAGAAGAAAAAGGGAAAACAUUCUCUAAAAGUGCAACAUGAAGCAUAAGAUGUACAUCAAAAUUUUCAGCUAUAAUCUAUCUCAUUGUUGAUAUAACUAAACAUGUAAUAAAAAUCCUACAAUUAUUAUCUUCAAAGCAGUUCUCAUUUAUGGUUUUGCUUUCUCGUUUAUGGUUUAACCAUCUUAAGGCUCAAAACCUCUAAGAUGUAACUCUUUAUAUUUAUUCCAACCAUGGCCCAGGAAAUAUCCAGUAAAACUAUUUUGAAAUGUUUAACAAAUUGAUACUAAUCAAAGUUUAAAUCACUAGGGGAAGUCGAGCAAAGAUUUUGAUUUUUGUGAAUUCUGUUUUAGUUUGCUCUUCUGCAUGAUAAUUGAGAGUUUUAAGAUGAUCUUCUUUCAUCCUAUUUCCUGAUAAGUAUUCCUUCAAGAAAGGCACCCAAGUACCAACAAAGUUCCUCAUAUUGAUGGAUAUUAAAAUUAAACAACUUCCAGACCACCUUGUGACUUUUGACAUGCUGUUAAUGGUAACUUGGAGUCCACUGAGGACGAAGAUAAGCUGAUUAACUUGGAGUCCACUGAGGAUGAAGAUAAGCUGAUUUGGAAGGCUAACAAUAGUGGGAAUUCUUAGUGAAAUCCUUCUAUUCUAUCUUGGAGUCGAAUGGAGGGGUGUGUCUUUUCCCUUGAAGGUAGUAUAGUGCUCUUGCGCCCCUUUAAAAGUGGGUAUUUUUACUUGGGAGGGAGGCUAUGUGGGAAAGGAUGCUGACCUUAGAUCAGCUUAAGAGAAGAGAAUGGUUGUUGGGUAAUCAUUGUUGUUUAUGUAAGAGUUCAGAAGAAUCAACAAACUGCAUGCUUAUCCAUUGUCAAAAGCCAAGGGGCUUUGGCAUUUUUUGCUUUCUCUUCGAUUCAUCCCUUCUUCUAUGAAACAUUUGCUAAAGAGAUCACACAGGGGUUUCAUGAGCAAAAAUAGAAGGAAGAAUUGGAGGACAACUCCUCUUUGCUUGUUUUCUGAUAGUUUGGCAAAAAGAAAAUUGAAGAUCCUUUGAUAGAAUUCAAUGUUCAAAUCAACCAAUAAAAGACUCCUUUAUUUGUACCCUAUUCCAAUGGACUAAUCAACAUAUUCAAGAUGACAUUGUAUCCUUUUUAGAAUUCACCGAUUGGUCAAGUGCUAGAUAGGGGGAGUGUGUGCGAUUGUGUGCAUGUAUGAGGUCAAUUGUUUUUUUCCUGGUGUUUAGGCAUCUUUUUGCAUACCUCCCAUGUACGUCAGAUACGCCCCCCUCUUUUUGGAUUGACACUUCUUAUAUACACUUGUUUGCCUAUCGAAAAGAAUAUUUGACUUUAUCUUGCUACCGGAUAAUCCAAUAUUUUCUAUAUUGCAAGAGGACUAUUUAGUUUUCCUUCCCCCCUCUCUUUUCAUCUUUCUUUUUCUGAACCUGUUUAGUAGGUCUUGCUUAGUUUUAUUGUCAUCUUAAAGAUUGAUUGGAAUCAUAUAUUAUCAAGAAACCCAAAAAAAAUACAGGAAAAAGAAAAGAAAAACUAGUCUGAUGACAAUGGAAGUUGGGUCCUCGGCAGUAAAUGUGUACCCUAAUGAAAGAAAUAAGGUGCUAGAUCAAUACUACUUCAAAUUUCCUCCCAAUUUUUUUUGGAUCAAUGGUUUUCCCAUCCUAGGUUUUGAAGCUGAGAUCUUCACCCUCAAUCUGUUUCCCAUCAUCUACUCCACAACUUCAACUCAACUUGCCACAUUCAACAUUUACACUACACUCAACAAGAACGUAAUUUGUUGUUGAUGUUUUUAUUUGCCUUAUCAGGGAUGACACAAACUAUUGACCACUGAGGAUUUUUCCUAUGCUAAGAGAACAAACUGGAAAACAGAGCAAGUCAUAUCCAAAUUCCCCUGAAACAACAAAAAAUGGCUUUCAUUUCUUAAAACUUCAGCCUAACUUCUUCCAAAUUUCAUGUUUUCCCUUCUACUUCACUAUAAAAAUCUUCCUAAUGUCAUAUUGUUCAGCUGUUAACAUAAGGAAGAAAACAUCAACAAAGAGAUGACAGAACAAACAUUUUCAUACCAAUAUGAAAAUUGGAGCAAUUAAAUUAAAUUCUUUCACAGUAAUGGUUAAUCUUAGUCUGUGAGGAACAAAACUGUCUCGCUGUGUAAUACAAUGCUAAAGACAAAAACAUAUAAACAUCUUCCACAUACCGAGCAAAGCAGGCAGCAGAUGAGCCACCGGUUGAACAGUAAUUUUCCACACUGGCCAACUCUUGGAAGCUCUUAUUUGCACCUUCAUCAUCAACUACUGGAGCGCAAAAACACAAACAAAGGGCACCACCAAUACUUACAACCUGGAAAAAAUAAUUACAACCCCAAAUCCACAAAAGAACCAAAAAUCCCAACCACUGAUCUUAGAACUCGGAUGAGUUCACACUGGACCUGUCCUGUAGUGGCCAAUACCUUGUUCGACUCACCAACCCUGAAUCAAGCAAUGCCUCCCAGUCCAGACCUUCCUCGGUUUUCUCCCUCAUUAUCUCCAGGAUCUUCUUGGCCUUCUCUCUCGCCCGCUCACUCCCUAUUUUCUCCACCCUCAUCAAUGUCUCCAUAGCCCCUGCCUCUUUCGCCAGCCCCUUGAACCUCGACCCACCAAAGCUCAGUGCAUAUAGCGCUGCCAGGCAACUCUCCCGAAUUGAGUCGGAGUCCAACUCAUUCCCCCUCAACAACCCCACCAAACACUCCACUGCACCCGCAUCCAGCAUAGCUGUCCUCCCAUCUGGGCAAGCAGCCAAGUUACAGAGCACCAGCAGGGCCCGACUCCAUAAAUGACCCGAAUUCACCAUGCCCAUAAGGAUCUGAACUGCCCCAAGUUUCACCAAUUUGGUUCGAUUGCUCUGAACGAGUGAGAGAUGAUAGAGAGCGAGUGCUGAGUCGUUCCGAGCUCGCUCACUCUCAGACCGAAGAGUGUGGAGAAGCGGCGGCAACGCGCCUAAAACUCCGAUGGCGGUUUUGUUGGCGUCUUCUAGAGCUAAGCUGAAGAGUGCACCGGCAGCGUGGUCCUGCGCUUCAGGGAAUCCCCCCUUCAAGACGUCGAUCAACGGUGGAACGAUCCCUGAUCGUACGAUUUUCACCUUGUUGAUUUUCUCUAGGGAGAGGUUCACCAGAACUGCUACUGCGUUCACCUGAAUUCCGGAGUAUCUCGAGAUGAUCAACGAUCGUAGCAUUGAGAGCAGUCGAGGACUGCAGAGAGAAACCCUAGUUUCUUCGCCGGUUCUGGUGAUCUUUCUCAGUGAAACCAAAGCUUCUUCUUGCUCGAAAACCUGAGGGCUCUUGAGCUUCGCGAUGAUGCCUUCGUCCUCCUCCGGCGAAUCGGGGUUUAGGGUUUCAAUCUCGGAAGAGGAUGAAGAAGAAUAGCAACUCGGCCGAGUCGCAAGGGGCAGAGGCGGAGUCGAACCGGUGGUGGUCACCGAUUCCUGCGAGCUUGAGUAGAAGUGAGUGGAACGGCGAUUCAAGUCAGUGAUGGCGUGAGCGAACUUCAAAACAGGAGGAGUCUCUCCAACCGCUUUGAUCAACUCCUUGUCCGAAUCCUCGCUUUUGUUCUCUGCUUUCUGGGACGCCAUAAGUGUACGGACGACCUUCUCUGCAGAGUCGAAGUCGAGUGGCUUGGGUCGGUCCACGGAACACUUGUCGCACCAGCUUAGAAUGGUGGAUUGUAUGGCGAGGUUGGGAAUGAUUGUGGAGAAAUCAGGCGAAGAACCCUCGGAGAGAGUGGGGUUAAACCCUAAAGCUUUACAGACCUGAACGCAGGCACGCUCGAACGUCUGGCCGGAAGAGACGAUAACUGGGUCAGCCAUUAGAGACCCAGAAAUGGGACACAGAAACUCCUUGGGCGGUUCCUUGGACUGGCGUUUUGACGCAUUGGAAGAAGAAGACGACUUGUAAAACACCCUCCACCUCUGCUUCCCAUUACCCAUCUCCUUACGACCUUCCUUUCCACAAACCCCUUUCCCCUCCUCUGGUUUAUUCAAAUACCUCAACAAAGCCUCCUGAAACUCCAUAACUUCACUGAAAAACUCUCCCAACUAUCAUAACAGAAGCAGUAUAGUUGUAGUCCCUGAAACAGAAAAAAAGGGUCAUGGUGAACGUUGCUGUAGCCCAUGUCAAAAGAGGAUAAGCAAAGCGGAGAAAUAGGGUUUUAGUUCAUUUGAGUCCAAAAGAGAUUUGGAUUCAGUUCUACUUUCGGGAAAAAAUCAGCCAACGAAAAAGAAGCCCUGACAAUCUGGGGAACCAACCACUCCCUCUUUUCCUCCUUUGGCAUUGGCCCUUUUGCAAUUAUCUCAGAUCAAUUCACUGCCCCCCUCACUGCUCCAUCAUUCUCGUCACCUUGAUGACGUUCUUUACAAUUAUUAUUAUUAUAUCUCCAAUAAUUUAGUUUAGAAAAAAACCCUAAAUUGUUCUUAAAAAGUUAAAAUGAAGAACUCUAUUCAAAAGCGAUUUCCUUUUAUUUGAUGGCCAUAAUCAAAUCACUCAAUUGUGAGAGAAUGAGACAAAUUGAAACAGUUAAAAGGUGAAAACGAGUCCACAAAUAUUGAUCAGUUCAGAGGAAUGAUCAUGAAGCAAUCAUUGAUAACCGCAAAAUUGGGUUUUUGCAACCCACUGGAGGAUGGGUGAGCCCCAAAUGCCCAAAUCCCCAAAUCCCCAUUCAUAAGACCUCAUCUCCAUUUUGGUAUGCAUUUCUUUAAUGGGUUAAUGCUGUACUCACUUGUUAUUUAUGGUAAAUGACUGAGGAAGAAUUUCUACGUUCAGGGGGAGCUGCUUGAUGAGAAUUGGCAUACUGGCAUAGACGUGCCGAAUUCUUCAUGGAGAAAAAGGUAUUUUCUUAUGAUCAAUAAAGGUUUCAUUCAGUGAUUUGAAAAAGAGGCUUUUUAUUAUGUGGAGGGUAUGUGGCUUUGUCUGCAGGCUCUGGACCAAUCAAUCUCAUAAAGAGACCCUGUUGAUUCUAAAAGUUCAAAGAACAGAGGCAAUUAGUUGUCCCUUUUUCCUAAAAUUUUGAGUGGAAGAAUGGGUCUGACCACCCUGCAAUGGACAUGCAAGGUGAAAGAUACCAUCACAGAUGAGUUGCAGAAAACAAAACCAGGAGGAAACAUCGUAAAAACCCUAGGAAGGAAAAAUGAUAAUAAAAGAAACAUACAUUUAAUCCAAGAGAGAGAUCCAUUUCUCCAUAGAUGAAUGGCAGCAAAAGAAUUGGGUAGCCAUUAAAUUGAACUUCAACGACAAACUUAGUAAAUUGCAUACAUGUAAAGAGACAUUAACCAGAAUGGGAUUUAUUAUUUAUUAUUUAUUAUUUAUUAUUUAAUUUUUUUGUGAUUAGAAUAUCACAUUUAUAGAAGAUGAGUAGAUAGAGUUUUAUGGAAAUUUUGUUGCACAAAAUAAGUGGAGAGGAUAGAACUUGAAUAUAAAAAGAAAAAGGAAAUUGAAAAAGAGAGAAAAUUUAAAAUUUAAAAAAAAAAACAAAAAAAAUUCGUAUAUUUAAUCAAUAGGAAUCAAUGAUUGAAUGUAAAUAAAGAUUAAAAAAAAAAGCAUUUAAUUACCACCUAAAGUGAGAAAAUUAUGAUAAAGACUAAAGUGAAAUUUUUUAGCUGCAACAGUUUGCUUAGUGGUUAAGGGAUCUUUUAGAAUGGACAUUAUCUUUUGUGGGUUUUUCUAGGCUGGCUGAUACCUACCUUUUCUUUCACAAAAGUGAUUCUCUUUCCCUAAACCUGCCCUUCAGUUGGAGGCCUCACUCCUCAGUCCUCACAUUCUAUUCUACUCCUUAAAGCAUACUGACAUCAUAAUGGCAGAUACUGCCAUGGAACUCAGUGGGCAGCAGGGAUGAUUUGGACACCGUAAAAUGUCAGCUUCAUUCACAAGUGGGUGUUGAUCUUUCAGCCUAUAAAUACUUUAUGUUCACACUCUGAUUUUUCUCUUUUCUUUUCUUUUCUUUCUUUUAAAUAUAUAAAGCAAUAAUUAUAAUUUUUGUUUUCCUUGGAACUUUUUGAAAGAGUUGAAGGAAUAUUAAUAACUUUUGGCAUAUACCUUAUGUUUGCCAUGUACUGAAUGGGUUGGUUUAUGGCCAUCAAGUUGUGUCUUUUAUUGUGGACUUGGUUGCUUCUCAACCAUACUCUUCUAUCAUGAAUAUGAUUGAAGGUAAGUUUUACUGGUCUCUUGUUGGUAAUAGUCUUCUAUUGUGAACACGAUUGAAGGUUUGAAAUUUGAGUUCAAUCCUUCUUAUCUUCAUUUCUAUCACGGGCUAUGAUGAAAAGUGGUGAUUUGAAGGUUUAUAUAUAUAGAAUAUCACGCAGCAAAUGAACGAAAUGUGCGUUCACACUGUUUCACGUGUGAACACCUUUUCUUUUUCUUUUUUUUAAGGUUUAAGUUUUGUGGGCCUCCUUGAUUUACUUUGUUAUUUUUAAAUCUUAUUAUAUGUGGGGUCUCUCCUACUUUGUAGACAGAGGGAAUUGGAUUCCCCACUUUUACAUAUAAGGGCCCGCACAAAGUUGGGCCUAGAGAGUGCAGGGCCCAGGUCCAUGCGUUAUGGGCGCAAUUUGUGUGGAUUGAAUAUUGGCCCACAAAUUUGACCCGUUGCUUGGCUACCGUCCGAGGGUUGGCUGAGAAACAGAUGGAAGUUUCGAGAAGAGUCAGGAUUGGGCCUUGGCUUCGGCGCCAAGAAACCCCAAACCCAUAUAAACUUACGUAGCUAAUGGAUGAAUAUUUUCAUUCAUUAUUCAGACUGAAAAACAAGGAGAGAGAUGGGAGAAGGAACAGAGGCUUUUCCAGAUCUUGGAAGACACUGUCAACGUUCAGAUUGCAAUCAACUCGAUUUUCUGCCGUUCAAAUGUGAUGGGUGUCACCAGGUAUUUGUUUCCUUUCCAUAUUAUUCUCGUUUGGUUGCUGAGAAAAUCUGAGGGUUUAAGUUUGGAUGCCUAAUUGGUUAUUGAAUGAAAUCGCAUGCAUGGGAAUACAUUAUAUGCAGGUGUUUUGCUUAGAACACAGAACAUACAAGUCCCACGAGUGCCCCAAACCAGAACCCAACAGCAGGAAGGUGGUGGUGUGCGAAACCUGUUCGACAUCGAUCGAAACCACAGGGCGAGAUGAAAAAGAAGAGAAGGCCAUGUUAGAGAGGCAUGAGAAGUCAGGGGACUGCGACCCGUCAAAGAAAAAGAAGCCAAUUUGCCCAGUUCGGAGGUGCAAGGAGGUACUCACCUUCUCAAAUACAAGUACCUGCAAAACUUGUCAACUCAACUUCUGCCUCAAGCAUCGGUUCCCCAUUGAACAUGCUUGCAAGCAACGGUUGCCAUCCUCGACAACGGGGGCUAAAGAGCGGUGGAGCGACAAGUUCUUGGCGGCGUUGGGGGCUAGGAUUGGGAACGAUUGCGCCAAGAAUGGUGGGCGGACGGUGUCCCCACCUGGUACCAGUCAUCCUGUCAAAGCGUGUUGAGAUUUUAUAUGAUUUGUACAUUUUGUUGAUUAUAAUUUAUAUGCAUUGUUACCACCAGAUGUUAUAUUGGAACCAAUGUUGAAUUCAACAAGAUGAAGGUUUAUGGUAUUAUAUGGUAAGCAACUGCACUAUAUGAAAGGCCCCAUUAGAAUCUGACACUUAUCAUAUAGAUGAAAAUUUUCAGAAACCAAAGACAUGUACAAAAUGAAUCAUCCAGAUUCAACCGCAGACUGAAUUUACAUGCAUUUUGCAUUCAUGCACCUGGGAUCCAGGCAAUUUUCUCUCUUCCUUUCACCAAGUGGGAGGUAGAGGAAGUAUAUUCAACAGUAGAGCAUGGGCUAUGGAGACCAAAUAAAAUAUGUGAAUCAUGAGCCGUGGACAACAAUGAAAUGAUCUUUUACAAAGCUACAAUUCAAUGCCUCGUUUGUUUUUCACCUUGUUCCAAAUAAUCAAUUCACAUACAUUCUUGUCAGCAUUAAUUUCUCAAAGCAAUUGAAUUUUUGUAAGGACAGAAAUUUUCAAUUGAUACAACAUCCAAUCCCUUUUAAACCCUAACUUCAAAAAGGAAUACACCCAUUCCAAUUUUUGGAUCAGACUUCUCUCAAGAGUACAGACACAAGAAAAAGUAGCUCUUUACAAAUGCAGCUGAGUUAUGGAGUCAUGGGGGUUGUCGUCUAGAACGUGACAAGAGAGCAAGAAGAAUCUUCUUUCUUGGACCCUGCAAAUCAAACAGCCCUGUAAGCAGCAGAUACCCAACUCGUCCCCAAGGGAAAAACUAUGUAUUAACUUGUAAUAUCCUAGCAUUUCAUGGUACCAAGCUGGCAGGAAGUCAUGCAUGCAGUGCAGUGUGGCAAUUCAAACUGAUACAUAUACUAAUAAUGAGAAUGAUACCUCACCACUUCAUGAUAGAUGGAUGGGGAAGAUAUACAAGAUUAGAGUAAUGAUAAGCAGCUAACAUAGCAGUUGCCACUGUCCGCACAUGGCUUUCAGGAAGAGAAAAUGAAAUUCAAAAGCUUGGACCACAUUUGCUUCCCACAAAGGAGCCUAUUGCUUAAUUUCAGGCCUUCAUAAUGCUCAAAUGACACUUAAAUAGACAAUGAAUGCAUAUUCAAUUGACAAUUAGAUAGUUGCAUGAGACACAUGAUACUGUGGACAGAUGAAAUACACCAGCUCGGCAAUAAAAUUUAUAUUCACAAUGGGAAAAAGGAUAAACCAGAAAAAAAAAAAGGGAUGAUAAUAGUUUCAUAGAACAGUAGAAAUAUUCAGAAAUGAAAAUACCAUUGGAAUUCCCAUCUCUUUAAGGUCAUUGUCCCCCAUCUGCUUCAAAGCAGUCAUAUCCACCUGCAAAUUUUGUGAAACAUUUCCUAAAUCCACUGACAAUAAGGAAAAGAUGGUAUAUUUAUAUUUCUAGGGAGCUUUGCUACAUCAUGAAUAUUAAAGAAUAAACACUAGAGCAGAUACUAUGUGCUCUUCCAUUUGUCCAGAAAUGGCAGCUUAUAUUUUAUUCAAAUGAAACCCCCAUAAGAGAGGCAUCUAAAUCCUACUAUGGAAGAUUCAUCUCCAAUCAUCAUCUUUUUCGGACAUCUGACAAAAGAAGCAAAUUACUUACCUCCUCAGCUUGAAAAUUAAUGACAUAUUUCUCCAAACCAAGUGAAUGCAACAAGCUACUGACAUUUACAGGUUCAUUACCCUGUAAUAAGCAAAAAAGACAUGACGAAAAGAAGAAUAAAGAGGCUCAAAGGUAACAUUUCAAAACAAAAAUAUUACAACCACAGACAUCAUACUGGCAUAUUAAGAGUUCCAUCUAUUCGUCAAUUAUAGGUAUGAUUUAGAUCAUCUAAAGAUGAAAAGCAACAAAGGAAUUAGUCUAAGCUAAAAAUCCAGCUGAUUUUAAUCAACUUAACAGGGAAGUAAACAAUGUCAUCUUAACAUAACUAGACCAAAUUGCCUAUCAAAAAAGAAAAAUGGAAAAAAAAAAAAAAAAAAAGGAAAAACACCAGGCCAAAGUGCUACCAGGCUAACAUUCAUACUUAAUCCUCACUGAGCCAAGUUGCAAACCAUAUUAGUUUCAGUUUUGACAGACAAACAGAAAAUUCAUAAACACCUUAACAAUUCAUCAUCCAUAAGUAUACAGCAUGCAAGAUGUAAAGAACUAGUGCCAAAAAGUACAAUAACAUUUGGAAUUAUAUUAGGCCACGCCUCAUUUAAGCAUCAGUGCAAAACCCAACAUCAGAUGUAUCUAAGAUGAGAGAUACUGUCUUGGAAAUCAACAAAAACAGGUAAUUCCAUGAAAUCUGUCCUCCAAAAGAAAAAGUAGUGUCAAAUGCCUAUCAAAAAAAAUAAAGAAAAAAAGAAAAA
RNAcentral lists this long non-coding RNA (63546 nucleotides) under Vitis vinifera (wine grape). RNAcentral's name for it is "long non-coding RNA (VVIN_LNC004859)". The record is from RNAcentral. Lineage: Eukaryota; Viridiplantae; Streptophyta; Magnoliopsida; Vitales; Vitaceae.